CUAAAAUUAUAUUUGUAUUAUACUUUUUUUUCAAGAAAAGGAAUGUGAUUGGCUGGAUAUAGAUGAUAUAGUGUAUCUUCUAUAUAUAUAUAUAUAUAGCGAGAGAGAGAGAGAGAGAGAGAGAGAGAGAGAGAGAGAGUGAGAGAGUAGUGCUACUAUACUCCUAUGAGUAUGGAGUCCUUAUACUCAUAAGUUAUUUUCGAUGAUGGAGCUUCCGAAUUGACGAUCCACUCCGUUAAAUAUAAUCUAGAGUAUUUGAAACAUUUAGAAAAUAAAUUUCGUAAUUUUUCAAAAUCAUAAUAUAGUCCAUCAAGUGGGUAUAAAAUGAACGAUCGAAAUCGAACGACGUCCUAAAAAUGGAUGAUCGGAUCUUUCAAUUUAAGAUCGAAGUUAUUGAUCUUUUUCUAGGUAGUGAAUAGAAUUUUCUAUCAAAAAUUCAACCAAUUCCAAUUCUUUUACACCGUUAAACUAACAAGUAUCCGAUAUCGGCCGUUAAAAAUUGUCGAUUUUGUGAUUUUUUGAUCGUAAGGUAAAUGAUUUCAAAAAAUUAUAAAAUUUGAUUUCUAUAAGUUUUAAAUGCUCUAGAUAACGUUUAACAGUAUGGAUUGUCGAUUCGGAAGUUCUAUCAUCAACAACAACUUACGAGUACGAGGGUGAUCGUACUCAUAAGAGUAUAGUUGCCGGACUCUAUAUAUAUAUAUAUAGAGAGAGAGAGAGAGAAAGAGAGAGAUAGAGAGAGAGAGGUUGUAUGCUUCUAGAAGCACGGAGCCCUCCGUGCUAGAUCCUUUCAAAUCUUUUUCGAUGUUAGGACUUUCGAAUAGACGAUCGGCUCCAUUAGGCUUGAUCUAGAGUAUUUGAACUAUCUAAAAAAUAAAUUUUGCGAUUUUUCAAUAUCAUUUGUCUAGUGAUCGAAGGGCUAAAAAUCAACGGCUGAAAAUAAAAAUCUUAGACAAUGUGAUGAUAUGACAUUAAAAUUUAAGAUCAAAGAUAUUGAUCUUAUUUUUUAUAGUAUCAAGAAUUUUCUAUCAAAAUUUUACUAGAUUUAGAUAUUUCUACACGUUAAACUUGCAAACGGCUCACCACGGCAAUUAAAAUUAUUGAUUUUGAGCCCCUUCGAUCACUGGGAACAUGAUAUCGAAAAAUUACAAAAUUUAUUUUCUAGGUACUUCAAAGACUCUAGAUCAAAUCUAACGAAGCUAAUCGUUGAUUAAAGUCCUAACAUUGAAAAUGACUUGAAAGCACGGAAGACUCCGUGCUUCCAGAAGCAUACCACCCUCACUCUAUAUAUAUAUANCGAUACCAUUUACCUAGCAAUCGUAAGGAUUGAAAAUCAAUAAUUUUUAACGGCUAAAAAUAAAAAUUUUAUAAAAAGUGGUGAUAUAGCACUAAAAUUUUCGAUCAGAAAUAUUGAUCUUGUUGUAGAUAGUAUAAAGAAUCUUGUAUCAAAAUUUUAUCUGGUUUGAAUACUUCUACACCGUUAAACUUAAAAACGACAGAUAUCAACCAUUAAAAAUUAUUGAUUUCGAAUCCUUUCGAUCACUAGGUAAAUGAUAUCGAAAAAUCACAAAAAUUAUUUUCUAGAAACUUCAAAUACCCUAGAUCAAGUCUAACAGAGCCGAUCGUCAAUUCGAAAAUGGCUCAGGCCUCCAUGCUCCUGAGAGCACAGCAGCCCUACUCUAUAUAUAUAUAUAUAUAUAGAGAGAGAGAGAGAGAGAGAGAGAGAGAGAGAGAGAGAGAGGAGACUUCCUCACGAUUAUAACUCAUUAAAGAUCCUAUGAUUAUGGCUCAUUAAAGAUGUUAGCCAAUAAAUAGACUUUGGAUACAUGCUAUUCUUAGUGCAGGUGGCAAAAAAAUUUAAUAGUUGGUAUUUAAGGUUUUAAGUUUGAAGACUUGAUUAUUUUAUGUUUUUCAGCUAAGUUUAGUUUUUAAAAAAUAAAUGAAACGAACAUGUUACUUUUCUCUUAAAAAAAAAAAGGAAAAACUUCAAAAAAAUUCCGUGGUUUCACACUUUUUCAUUUUAGUACCAUGUGGUUUAAAGUGUAUCAAGUUAAUACCCUGUGGUUUCGCACUUUCUCACUUUAGUAUCCUGUGGUUUCAAGUGUAUCAAGUUAGUACUCUAUGGUUUUAUUUCUGUAUCAAGUUAGUACCAUGUGGUUUUAUUUUUUUUUGAAAUAUUAAACCACAGAGUACUAAAGUGAGAAAGUGCGAAAACACAGGGUACUAACUUGAUACACUUUAACCACAAGGUACUAAAGUGAGAAAGUGCGAAACCACAGGGUACUAACUUGACACACUUUAAACCAUAUGGUACUAAAGUAAGAAAAAGUGAAACCACAAUGGGGGUUUUUGAAGUUUUCCCGAAAAACAAAGACUUCGGAUUCUAGUGGAAGAAAACCAAGGUAAACUAUAUAGCUGUUUGGCUAAAUUUGUGAAUCUUUGCGAGUAAAGACAUACUAUGCAUCUAAUAGCUUGAAUGUGCAUGGCGUUAAAUUCUGGGUGGUGUAAGCGGUGCGGCGACUGGGCCGAGGUCCAACAUAUUGGCACUCAGGAAAAUGGUCGACAACUAUAGGGUAGUGCAAAGACCUGAUACGAUUGGGUGGAGAUGGUGUAACAACGGAGUGUUCUCGGUCAAAUCGGCAUAUAGAAUGUUAAGUGACGGGGGUACGAGGGAUGGACAUGCCCCCAAGAUCUGGAGGGUCCAAAUUCCUCUCAAGGUCAAAGUGUUCUGUUGGCUAGUUCUUAAGAAGAGACCUCUUACAACUGAUAAUCUCGUGAAGAAAGGUUGGACCGAAGAUUCAGUCUGCGUUCUGUGUAGGGUACACGAGGAGACAGUGGAUCACCUAUUCUCUCAAUGCGUCUUUACCAAAUUCUGCAUGGUGAUGAUUCGGAAGAGAGUUCAGGCUGGGGAGAUGGAAGAAGACGUACGUUACAUUUGGAAUAGGUGGUUGGCCAAGAAAGGGGUGCAUAAUAAGCAGAAUAGUUUAACGGAAUUUGUCGCUUGCUGGUGGACUAUUUGGAAGGCCAGAAACGACUUGAUCUUUUGAAACUCUCUUUUUGAUCCUGUUUUGGCUGUACAAAGGAUUAAGCAGCUUCUGAAGUUCUAGGAACCCCUCAUACGACUGAAUCUUUAGGAUUUUUUUUUUUUGACUGUUGCAUCUUUCCUUGAGGCCUUAGUUGUCUCACUUCUGUAACUUAGUUCAUACAUUCAAUGAAUGAAGCAGCUAGCAUACUACCUUUCCUCAAAAAAAAAAAAAAGUGAAUUGCGUUGAUUAGUUGAAACAGUCACAUGUGGUAGGGCCAAGAACUUAUUUACAAUUAUAGGACCCACACUUCACAACGGUAGAUAGUAUUUUAGUAAAUUAAUAUUAUAUAAUUCUUAAAAUUUUAAAAUUAAGAAAACUUAUAAUGAAAAAUACAAAACAAACUUAUAUAUCCUUUUAUAUAUUAUAAAAACUAUUUUUUUACUAAUAUUUUUAACUUUCAGUAUUUGUAGAGUUGAAGUAUUCUAAUAACUUUACUUAAAAAUUCCAUCAAACUUAAUAGUUUUAGUAGCUAUUUUAUAAAUAAAUUUUUAUUUUAAAAGUUAAAUUGGAGGAAUUAUAGUUAAGUAUUAUAUACCGCGAUUUAUAUUAUAGAACUAAUUUCUAAUAUCAAAAUAUAAUUAAAUAUAUCUAAGCUAUAAAGUCUAAUAAUUUAAAUAUAUUUGCUCAAUUAAAUUUUAAAUUUACUAUUUGAGAUUUGAAGCAUGUAGUGUAUAUAAUUAUAUUAUUCAGUAUAUAAUACUUAACUAUGGGCGGGGCUCUUUGAAAAGCUCUUUUGCAUAGUUCUAAAAAAAGAGGAGAAAUUUUUGCUUGCACUAAUAUUGCAUACAUCAUAACUUCAUAAGUAUAUUAGAUGAUUUAUAAAAUACCUAAUAGUUAGUGUUAUAAAAUAAACUAUGAUAUAGUGUAGUAUAAUAUAAAAUAUAAAAUAUUUAAAUAAUUUAUUAUAUUAUAGAAAUUUAUUUUUUAUUCAUAUUUUAUAUUCGGUCUACAGUACAAUUAGCGUGUCGAAAAUUUCUAUUUAGUACAUGACAUGUUUUUAUUGGCCAGGGGGCUAUAAUAGAGAUUUUGCUCCUCCAAAAACCAUUUUUAUGAUGUGACUGAACCGUCAAUUAUAUAUACUAUAUAUAGAUAAAGAUAUUUACUUUUUUCUCUCAAAUUUCAUUUUAUAGGAGUGAAUAAAGUGACUUUAAAUUAGCACUUACGUACCAACCUUAUAUUGACUACCAUUUCCCUUCACAUAAGCAGCAUCAAUUUCAAGCUUUAUGACUGGGCAAGUGUUUGAAAAUUGCAAUCAUAACCAUUAGAAGAUGUUGAGAUUUUUCUUCCAAAUUUUCAAUAAUAAUUAGGAAAUAUAAGAUCAUUUGACUUACCAACCCAUGCAUUCGUCACAAUUAGCUAUUUCUAUUUCCUUAACAACCACUCAGCUCCAUUUGGUAUUGUUUGCUGUCUAAUGUUAUUAAGUUACCAAAAAAAAAAAAGAAAAAAAAAAGUUCUUAUUAUUUUGAUAGAACUGUAAAAAUUAUACUUGAAUUGAGUUACUGUGAUAUACAUAACGUGAUAUUAUGUACCGACUUCGAUGCAACAAUGCAAUCAAUUCUCAUAUUUUUUGGCAUAUGUGGUAGCUUUGUAUUUCUACCCCUAUAUAAAAUAGGGAAAACUUCAAAUACCACCUAUGUGGUUUCGCAUUUUUUUACUUUAAUACCAUGUGGUUUAAAGUGUAUCAAUUUAGUACCCUGUGGUUUCGCGUUUUCUCACUUUAGUACCCUGUGAUUUAAAGUGCAUCAAUUUAGUACCAUGUGGUUUCAUUUUUUUCUUUUAAUCGGCUCCUUUGUUAAUAUUUUGUUAAAUUAUAUACAAAAAAAUUCAGAUAUCUAUCUAGGUUUAGCGAAUAUUUACUUUAGCAUCCUAUAGUUUUAACUUUGUCACUAUUUUUUUUUCCUACGUUAAUAUAUCGUUAAAUUAUAUAUAGAAAACUUUAGAUACUCUACUUAGGUUUAUUGAAUAUUCACUUUAGUACCUUUUAAUUUUAACUUUGUCACUAAUUUAAUGAAAAAAAAUUAGUAAAAUAGAUAAUAAAAAGAGAAAAAUGAAACCACAUGGUACUAACUUGAUACAUUUUAAAUCACAGGAUACUAAAGUGAGAAAGUGCGAAACCACAAGGGCUAACUUGAUACACUUUAAACCAUAGGGUACUAAAGUGAGAAAGUGCAUGUGAAAUCACAAGGGGGUUAUUUGAAGUUUACCCUAUAAAAUAAUCCUUCAUUGUACUUAACUUUGAAGUUGAUAGUUGGUAUCCGAGGUCCCAAGUUUGAAUCCUAAUUGAUUCACAUUUCAAACAAGUUUAUUUUUAUAUGAAAUAAACGAAGCAGAUAGCGUGCUACCUAUCUCUGUAAUAAAAAAAUAUAUAAAAAAAAAAAACUUUAGAAGUUGAUCACUAGCAAUUUAGUCCUUGUGGGAAAUGGACAAGAAAACUUUAUAAAAAAUGUCUAUGAAACGUUGAUUCAUAAAGAUGCUCACCAAGGUGGGAACCGAACCUCAUAAAUUUUGUACUCAUGUGUUAAACCUUAUAAAUUAAAAAUUAAGUUCGAGUUAAAAAAAUGCAUUCAAACAGUGAACAGUAUUAUAAUGCAUGGUAGUUGACUAAUUAAAAAUCUGCCCAUCAUAUAUAACAUAACAUAUAAAAAUUGGCUAAAUUACAGAAAACCUCUACGUCAAAACUCAAUUUUUUACUUUUUCCCUAUGUCAUUUAAAAACCUAUACUUUGCCCUCUUAUAAAAUAAAAAAUGUUCACAGGGGAUACAGUGUGAACUGUGAUGAUAAAAUGACCAUUUUGCCCCUCACCAUUUUGCCUCUCACCAUAUUCACAGAAAAAAAGACUGAGGACAUUUUUGGCAUAAAAAAAUAUAUAAUAAUAUUUUAUAAAGGGAACCCUAACGGAUUACUAACAGCAGGGGGCGAAGUGAACAUUUUUUAUUUUACAAGGAAAAAAAGUAUAGAUUUUUAAAUAACAGGAGGAGAAAGUGAAAAUUGGAUUUUCACAGAAAAAUUUUAUAUAAUUUAGCCAUAAAAAUUCUAUAAAAGAGCUACACGUUGCGUACCACCAUAAAACUAAUUUUAUAUAUUAUAAAUAAUUGAAUAAUUAAUACACGUAUAUUAAAGCUACUCUACAAAAUAUAAAUACAUUAGUAAAAUAUAUAGAUAAUAUUUUGAGGACAUAAAACAUUUUUUAAUAAUUAGGAGACAUUUUGGUUGGAUCCAGAAGCAUGUAGUUCAGUAGUUGGAGUUGUAAUGGUACAUAUGUCCAAUUUUGUUGGAUGCAGUAAAAGAGACUAUAAUAAUUUAUUUACUUACAUGUACUUUAUAUAUGGUAUGAGGUGGUGAAAUUACUUUCAAUAUAAGAAAAAAAAUAUUUUAUUUAAAAAAUAAUUAGAAAAGUAAGUUUAUUUUUCAUUUAAAAAUUAUUCUUUCCAACUGCUAUAAUUGAAACUGCGCUAAGGGUCUAUUUAGUUGCAUAAAAUUUCAACUAACUACAUGCGAAUCUAAAUCCAGCGUUUGGUUAAAUGCAUUUGAAUCCAACUGCAAUAGUUGGAAAUGCAUCAAGAGGCCCAACUAUAGUGGUUGAAACUAUAUCUAAAUUGGCCGUAAUUCCAACUACAAUAGUUGGAGAGAGUAAAUUUAAACAAGAGGUAGUAAGGUUAAUUUUUAAAUUCCUUUUUAAACAAAAAUAUUUUUUUAAUAAAGUGAUAAAAUUUUACAAACAUACUUCUCAACUUCAUAUACAAAAAUAAAUUAUUUAUAAAUGCAGCACUUUCUAUUACACUCAUCCAAAAUAACUCCGAUCUUGAAUUGAAGGAUUCGAUCAUCAUUUUUUAGGACGUCGUUCGUUUUUGACCAUUCAUUUUAUGCCCACUUGAUGGACUUUAUUAUGAUUUCGAAAAUUUAGGAAAUUUAUUUUCUAAAAGUUUCAAAUACUUUAGAUCAUAUUUAACGGAGUGGAUCGUCGAUUCGGAAGCUCCAUCAUUGAAAACAACUUGCAAAACACUGGAUGGCUCAAAUAACUCCUAAGCAUACAGCCUCACUCUCUCUCUCUCUCUCUCUCUCUCUAUAUAUAGAUAUUAUAUAUCAUCUCCACGCAUGAUACUAAUUUCUACACAUAUUUUUUUUUUAUCUAUCAAACAAACAGUGGAACAUGAAAUAAACUUCAGUUCCAUAAUUUUACAAAAAAUAAAAAUAAUAAAUAAUUUUUAUCUUUAAAUUUAAUUUAUCUCAAAACUUAUUUAAAGCUAAAUUUUGCUGAAUCAGUAUAAAACAAAUCCAUUAUUAUCCCCAAAAAAAAAAAGCAAUAACAAAAAGGUUGGCGUAUUUUCGUAACUUGACCUCCAAAAAAGCAACAAUCCUAGACGGACGUACUCCGUCCGGAUAAUGCUAAGAAAAGAAUUUUUAAACUGAGUUUACAAGUAGCUCAGUUCCGCGAAUCUCGAUUUUGCAAGCGGUCCAAAACAAAAUUUGUGGGUCCCACAUGUCUAGUGCAAGACCCGCGUGCACAGCGACCGUUACACAAACACAACCUCACCACCACCAACAAAUGAAACCAAAAGCUCUCCACAAUCUUGUCAGCAGAAGAAGGCCGCAGCUCCCCAUUACACCUACCCCUAACUCUACCCAAAACUACGAAAGCAAAUGACUACAAAGAGACGUAUUGUAUUCGGUGGCAAAAAGAUUAGAUUGAUCGAGUCAUAUUUAAAAUAAUAAAUAAAUCGAGUUGGUAUCAAAUCAAAAAUCAAGGACAAGUAGAUUAUAUUCAUAUGCUUUUUAAAUAACUUAGUUGUGUAAGUCGAGAGAUAAACGAUUACGCCAUGGAACGUUGGAUCACAGGAAUCACAAGAUUGGGCUUGAUACUAUGUUAUUGAAAAGAUGAUAUGAUUAGUACACAAACAGACACGGACAAAGAGAGGAGUAAUGUGUACUGUCGAACGCAAGUAGGAAGGGAAAUAAAUGUCCAUGGCGGGAUACACGUUCUUCCUCUCCCUUCCAUUUUCUUCGCCAAUUUUACUCCUUCUAUUUGAAUCCCACACUGAUUUGUUAUAAUUCCUCAAAAAACGAGGAUGAUGACGAUGAUGAAUACGAGCGAGAGAGAGGAAAGAGUAAAAAGUUGUUUUUAAUUAAAGUAAUUGAAUUAAAGCAUAUAAAAUCAAAAAUGUAAUUUGAAUUUACAUCUAAAUUGUAUGGUUAAUUGCAUAAAGCUCCCAUAUAAACAUAUCGAAUGACAGACAUAUUUUUAUAAAGUUUAACUUUUUAUUUUUAUUCAUACAAAAAUUUUAAUAUUUUCAAAUAUAUUACUCAUGGUAGGAUUCAUUAGAAAAAUAUAAUUAACCAUAAGUAAAAUAUUUAAUUUUGAUUAAUGAAUGAGUUAAAUUGACUUUUUUACCCUUUUAUAUUAUUGAGCAAAAUAUUUUUUGUGAGGAUAUUUCUGUAUAAUUCUAACAAUUGAGAUUUUUUAAAAAAUAUAUUUAUAAGGAUAAAAAAAUUAUUUUACUUAUAUACUAUUAAAAAAUAAAUAGUUUUAUAAUGAUAACAAAUAAAAAGAUAAAUAUAAAUAUUAAAGAUAUUUUAUGAAAAUAAAAAUAAAAAAUUAAAUUUUAUAUAAUAUAUUUAUUCUUCAAUAUGUUUACACACAGCUGUACACAAUUAACCAUUACACCCAAUGAAAAUGCAUUGCCGAAUCUUCGCACGUGAUAUAUCGGGAUCCGGUACGUUCCGGCGUGCGAAUCGGUGCGCUCUCUGAACCUCUAGUCCACGUGGCAGAAUCACGUGCGACACUUACAAAAAAAUCAAUACCACAUUUAAUGGCUCAGAUAUGCCCCGCAUUGCAGAACUAUUUACCUAUCUAGCUUUUUUACAAAAAAAAUAUUUCCAAUCUAGUCUACUUUUGAAAAAUAUUCUCCAUCUAGUCUCAUUUUCAAAAAUUAGAGAAAAAAAAAUUAAUUCUUUUAAUAUAUAUUAAGGGGUUAAGUGGGGGAGAUUAUCUUUUUCUCUCUCCUCUCCCAUUAAUUUUUAUAUCAAAAUAAUCUUGAUUCCAUUCAGUGUAUAAAUUUCAUGUUUUAAUGUAUUAAAACCUAAAAUACGAGAAAUUCAAAUAGUUUUUGGAUCAGGACCAUUGUAAUCAACUCCUUUCGAACCAUGUAUAAUAUUUUUAUCAAAAUUUAAAAAGAUUAGAAUUGGUUGAUGGGCUAUAUGAAAAUUUUUUAUUUUAAAAUAAAUCGAUAUGAGAUAAAUUAUACACAAAAAUUAGAGAGUGAGAAGGGAUCUCGGAAAAGGAGAGAGAAAAAGAUAAUCUCCCCCACUUAACCCUUUAAUAUAUAUUAAAGGUAUUAAUUUCUCUUUUUUUUUUUAAUCUUUGAAAAUGAGGCUAGAUGCGGAAUAUUUUUCAAAAGAAGGCUAGAUAGGGAAUAUUUUUUUGUAAAGAGGCUAGAUAGGUAAAUAGUUCNNNNNNCCCUAAACGUCAGAUUCCCAUCCAACGGCCCACAUCUCUCGAAUCUGGCGACACCACCAAUGUCGUUAAAUUGCACUUUGAGUCCUCAAAAUUUAUGGCUUUUGACAUUUCCGUCCUCUAACUUUAAAAUGCAAUUACACUAGUUUAAACUUUUUAAAUUGUUACAAAUAAGAACUACAUCCCAAUUUAAGUUCACUAAUGUGGUAUUGGUGUAAUUUUAAGUGAUUAUUAUAUUAUCAAUUAUAAUAUUAUCACAUCAGUACCAUACUAGCAAUAUAUUAUUAUUUAAUUAAUUAAAUUAGAUUGUGCUAAUUUAAAAUUCACAUUCAACAAAGUCGGAGGACUAAAAGUGCAAUUUUGCCACCGCACUAAUCCCUUAAACUUUGGGCGAAGCUUUAUUUUAGUGCUCAAACCUUUAAUUUUAAUAUUUAAAAAUUUAAAAUUUAAUAAAAGUUUUAAUUUAGUUUUUAAAUUUUUAAUAGCAGAAAAAGUUAUAAUAAGAUAGAUGAUAAGAUUAAAAUAUGAGAUAAAAAAAUAAAUUACAAAUUUUUUUUUGUAAAUAUUUAUUUUUUUACUUUGCCACUUUAAAUUUUAAAAAUCUAUAUUUUAUUUUUUAAAAAAAUUUUAAAGGUAUUUUUAGAAGACUAUAACAUUAAUGGAAAGAACAAAGUGAUCAAAUUAUUUUUAUCUUUUUUAUAAAAGAUAAUUUUUUAAUAUAUUUCUGUAAUUUUGAAGAAUACUUUCGGUAUAAAUUAUAAAAAAUUGACGGAGUAAUAAUGGAGCUCUGAGAAGGGGAACUAAAUGCAAUAACCUGAAAUGUUGAAGGAGUAAAAUAUAAAAUUUUGAAAGUAAGAAAGGAAAGGUAAAAAUAUAUAUAUAUAUAUAUAAAUUUUCUAUAAUUUAGCCAAAAAAAGAAUUUUUUUACAAAUCAAUUAGUUUGAGGACUGAAAUGAAAGUAAAUCAAAAGGUUGGGGACUAGCGGUAUAAUUUACAUAUGGGAGGUAGGUAGGGCUCUAGAGAUGGCUCCGGUCGUAAUUACCUCGAAAACCAUGCCGAGAUUCCGAAACGUUUAUCCAUAAAAGGUUUAAAGCUCUUUGAGCAAUUAACCGAUCCGCGCUUGGUGGAAACCCUUUUUACUCUUUCCCUCUCUCUCGCUCGUAUUCAUCAUCGUCAUCAUCUUCGUUUUCUUUGAGGAAUUAUAACAAACAGGUGGUGGGAUUCAAAUAGAAGGAGUAAAAUUGGGAAGAAAAUGGAAGGGGAGAGGAAGAACGUUGGUAUCCUCGCCAUGGACAUUUAUUUCCCUCCUACUUGCGUUCGACAGGUACACAUUACUCUCUCUCUUUGUCCGUGCUGUUUGUGUACUAUCAUAUCAAUCUUUUCAAUAACAUAGUAUCAAGCCAAUCUUUGAUUCCUGUAUCCAUCGUUCCAUGGGGUAUCGUUUAUCUUUCGUACUACACAACUAAUUUAUUUAAAACAUAUGAAUAUAAUAUCUACUUGUCUUGAUUUUGAUUUGAUCCAACUCGAUUUAUUAUUAUUUUUAAAUAUGACUCGAUCCAAUCUAAUCUUUUUGCCACCGAAUACAAUACGUCUCUUUGUAGGUCAUUUGCUUCGGUAGUUUUUGGGGUAGAGUUAGGGGUAGGUGUAAUGGGGGAGCUGCGGCUUCUUCUGCUGCAAGAUUGUGGAGGCUUUUGGUUUUCAUUUGUUUGGUGGUGGUGAGGUGCUUGGUGUUUGGUGUAACCGGGCGCGUGCACCGGGUCUUGCACUGACAUGUGGGACCCACAAAUUUUGUUUUGACCGUUGCAAAAUCGAGAUCGCGGAUGAGCUCUUGUAAACUCAGUUUAAAAAUUCUUUUCUUUAGCAUUAUCCGACGGAGUACGUCCGCUAGGAUUGUUGCUUUUUUGGGGGUUAAGGUUACGAAAAUACGCCAACCUUUUUUUUAUUGCUUUUUUUUUUUUGGGGUAUAAUAAUGGAUUUGUUUUAUUACUGAUCAGCAAAGUUAGCUUUAAAUAAGUUUUGAGAUAAAUUAAAAUUUAGAUAAAAAUUAUUAUUAUUUUUUAUUUAUUUGUAUAAUUAUGGAACUGAAGUUAUUUCAGUUCCACUGUUUGUUUGAUAGAAAAUAAAUGUCGUAGAAAUUAGAUCAUGCGGGAGAUGAUAUAUAUAUAUAUAUAUAUAGAGAGAGAGAGAGAGAGAGAGAGAGUGGGCUGGUAUGCUUAUGGAAGUAUUGAGCCCUCCGUGUUUUCAAGUUGUUUUCGAUGUUCGGACUUUCAAAUCGACGAUCGGCUUCGUUAGAGUUGAUCUAGAGUAUUUGAAGUAUCUAGAAAAUAAANAUCCAUAAAAGGUUUAAAGCUCUUCGAGCAAUUAAGCGAUCCGCGCUUGGUGGAAACCCUUUUUACUCUUUCCCUCUCUCUCGCUCGUAUUCAUCAUCGUCAUCAUCUUCUUUUUCUUUGAGGAAUUAUAACAAACAGGUGGUGGGAUUCAAAUAGAAGGAGUAAAAUUGGGAAGAAAAUGGAAGGGGAGAGGAAGAACGUUGGUAUCCUCGCCAUGGACAUUUAUUUCCCUCCUACUUGCGUUCGACAGGUACACAUUAAUGCCACCCCCCAAUCUCUCCUCUCUCUUUGUUCGUGUUGUUUGUUUUCUAUUAGAUCGAUCUUUUCAAUAACACGGUACCAAGCUAAUCUUUGAUUCCUGUAUCCAUAGUUCUGUGGGAUAUCAUUUACCUUUCGCACUGACACAAUCAAUUCACUUAAAAUGUAUAAAUAUAACGUCUACAAGUCUCGAUUGUGAUUCGGUUCAACUCGAUUUUCUGUCAUUUUUAAACGUGACUCGAUCCAAUCUGAUCUUUUUGCCACCGAUAUGAUAUGUCUCUUUGUAGGUCAUUUGCUUCGGUGUUGGUUUCAUGGAGUGUCGGGGUAGUUUUUGGGGGUAGAGUUAGGGGUAGGUGUAAUGGGGGAGCUGCGGCUUCUUCUACAGCAAGAUUGUGGAGGCUUUUGGUUUUCAUUUGUUUGGUGGUGGGGAGGUGUUUGGUGUUUGGUGUAACCGGGCGCGUGCACCGGGUCUUGCACUGACAUGUGGGACCCACAAAUUUUGUUUUGACCGUUGCAAAAUCGAGAUCGCGGAUGAGCUCUUGUAAACUCAGUUUAAAAAUUCUUUAGCAUUAUCCGACGGAGUACGUCCGCGAGGAUUGUUGCUUUUUUGGGGGUUAAGGUUACGAAAAUACGCCAACCUUUUUUUUAUUGCUUUUUUUUUUUGGGUAUAAUAAUGGAUUUGUUUUAUUACUGAUCAGCAAAGUUAGCUUUAAAUAAGUUUUGAGAUAAAUUAAAAUUUAGAUAAAAAUUAUUAUUAUUUUUUAUUUAUUUGUAUAAUUAUGGAACUGAAGUUAUUUCAGUUUCACUGUUUGUUUGAUAAAAAAUAAAUGUCGUAGAAAUUAGACCAUGCGAGAGAUGAGUUUUAUAUAUAUAUAUAUAUAUAGUGGGCUGGUAUGCUUAUGGAAGCACGGAGCCCUCCGUGCUAGUUGUUUUCAAAGUUCAGACUUUCGAAUCGACGAUCGGCUUUGUUAGAGUUGAUCUAGAGUAUUUGGAGUACCUAAUAAAUUUUGUAAUUUUUCGAUAUCAUUUGCCUAGUGAUCGGAGGGGCUUAAAAUCAUUAAUUUUAAUGGCCGUGGUGAGCCGGUUGCAAGUUUAACGGUGUAGAAAUAUCCAAAUCACAUGAAUUUUGAUAAAAAAUUCUUUAUACCAUAUAAAACAAGAUCAAUAACUUUGAUCUAAAAUUUUAAUGUCAUAUCAUCAUAUUUUGUAAGAUUUUUAGUUUCAGCCGUUGAUUUUGAGCCAUUUAGAUCACUAGGCAAAUGAUAUCGAAAAAUCGCAAAAUUUAUUUUCUAGAUACUUCAAAUACUCUAGAUCAAGUCUAAAAGUGCCGAUCGUCGAUUCGUAAGUCCGAACAUCGAAAACAAAGUGGAAGCACGGAGCCCUCCGUGCUUCCAUAAGCAUCCUAGCCGCACUAUAUAUAUAUAUAUAUAUAUAUAUAUAUAAUUGGACUGAAAUGCUAUCGGUGGUAAACAAAUUUUGUUACCACUUAUUUGUUUUCGAUGAUGGAGCCUUCAAAUCGAUGAUCGGCAUCGUUAAAUAUGAUUUAUACCACUUGAAGUAUCUAAAAAUAAAAUUAUAAAUCUUUUCAAUAUUAUUGACUUAAUGCUCAAAGGGUUUUAAAAUUUAUAAUUUUAAUGGUCAAUAUGAAAUGUUUUUUUGUUUAACGGCGUGAAAAUAUUCAAAUCAAUUGAAUUUUGAUUAAAAUAUUUUUUAAAUUAUUUAAAACAAAAUUUAUACUCUCGAUCUUGAUUAUAAGAUACCUAUUAUCAUUUUUUAAAUGAUAUUUAUUUUUAGACUUUUUAAAAGAUAUUCAUUUUUGUGUCCAUUUGAUGGAAAAUAGAAUAAUAUUGAAAAAAAUAAAAAAAAUAAAAUUUGGUUUCUAGAUGCUUCAAGUAGUAAAAUAUUCAACGAUACCGAUCGUCAAUUUGGAAACUUCAUCAUCGAAAACAAAUGGAUGAAUUUCAUAAUUAUUUUUAAAAAUUACAAUAUUUAAUUUGUAAGUAUGUCUAAUGAUGUAAAUCAAUUUCAACGAUGUCAAUUAUCGAUUUAGAAUUUUAAUCAUCUAAAAUGACUUAAUAUAUCAAAGACUUCUAUCAUCUUGAAAUGACAGUGUUGGCCUCUAAAAUUUCACUAGGGUUACUAUACUUCUAUGGGCUUGGACUAUUAUACUCUUAUGAGUAUAAACUCCCGUAUACUCAUAAAUUUUUAACCUCUAAAAUUACACUAGAGUUACUAUACUUCUAUGGGCUUGGACUAUUAUACUCUUAUGAGUAUAAACCCCCUUAUACUCAUAAAUUUUUAACCGUUGAGUGAUGGGAUAUGUGAUUAGGAUGAUGGUGGUCCCCACUUAAAAUAAUAGUGGUCCCCUAAGGUUAAGUGGGUAGUUGGUUGAAUAGUAUGAUCUAACGGAUGGAAAUGAUCAAUAGAAUAAAUCUAAGGACCGAAAACUUAUGAGUAUAAGGAAGCCAAUACUCAUAAAAGUAUAGUAGCCGGACUCUACUUUUAUGAGUAUAGAUCUAUUUAUACUCAUAAAUUAUUUUUUAUGAUGGAGCUUUUAAAUUAAUGAUCCAUAUCGUUAAAUAUAAUUAAGAAUAUUUGAAACUUCUAGCAAAAGGAUGCAGUAUAAAUUUACCUUAUACACGCUAUUGAGAGCUUAAAUUUACCUUAUACAAGUACUUUAAGAACUAUAUACGUAAAUUUGUUAACAAAUCACAAAAUUCUACGGCAAAUAUUUGGGACCUCAAAUAUUUAGCAAUGGGAUGCAGUGGUACAAUUAGGGGAUAUUUUUUGCACCAAAAGCCGAGGGAGGUGAUUUUCGGCCAUAAAUACUAUUUUUAUUAUUUUAUUUAUCAUAAAUUAGCUUUGAUUGUAAUUUUAUUUUUUUAAAAUGUUAUAAUUGACUUUACUGUAGAUAGGGCUGGCAAUCUAGCUCACAGUAUCGGUUCUCGUUGGGCUUGAAAUGAACUCGAGAUCGAUUGCUCGUUUAAUAAACGAGCUGAAUACAAACUAAAUUUUUCAGUUCGAAACCUUAAUGAGUCGAACACAAGUUAAGGUCAGUUCGCUAGUAUUUAGCUCGAUAUACUUUAUUUAUAUUAUAAAUUUCUACUAUUUGAAUUUUUAGGCCAAUCCAAAUAUAAAAAGAUUUAUAUUUUCUAAAUUUUGAUUAUUAGAUUAAGAUUUUAAUUUUUUAUAAAUUUGCAUCCAGUAAUAAAGCUGCCAAUCUAACUUACUAUUCACGAACUAACUCAUAUUCAGCUCAUUAAUAAACAAAUCGAAUACGAGCUAAAUCUUUUAGCUCGAUAUUUUAACAAGUCAACUUGUAUUCUUUUUGUUUAAUAAACGAACGAAUAUGAGCCGGCCUCACUUCGCUCUUGUUCAGUUUGUUGAUAGUCCUAAUUUUCACAUCUCACAUACACUCUCUCGCGUUCUUGCAUUGUAGAUAGUGCCUAAAAUUUUUGAUGAAAUGAAUUUAAAAAAACGAUGACUAGAGUAUUAAAAUUACCAAUUUUUUAUUCAUCAAAUGGUAAUAAAAAAUAAUUUUAUUCGAAUUUUAGUUCAGCUGAAACUUUGAGAGUCUUAAUUUUCUAUGUGGUUGGGUCACACGCGCAGCGAUUUUGCACCGUUGGAUGGAGGAAUGAGGGUAAGGGUGGAAAAUUGUACGGAAGGGUCUCCGUUUGUGUGGGUAAUAAAAUUGCUGUACUGGUGACGUGGCAACGUGAGAGACCGAUCACGCGGGACAUUCACAGCGCCAAUGCACUCAUUGCAUGGCCCAAGAAUUGCUCAUGCAGUGACAAACGCGUAAUCUUAUUUGUAUAUCCAAAAGUGGCUGUUCGUGAUGAUUACAAACGCACUGCACUCAUUGUACUGCACAAUAAUUGUUUUUCGAAUGUACACAUGUGUAUAAUGUUAUUUGUAUAUUCAAAAGCCGAUGUAAGUAGAGUAAUGCUUACAUCUACUGUGCCCAUACAAAGCUUUCUAUGAUUAGAAGUUGUUAAGACUAGUAAGUAAAUAUUAGCAUUUGGAUGGCUAGAAUGCAAAAUUUACAUCUUAUAUUUAGCUAUACUCUUAAAUAGUUUCACAUUCAAUAAUAUGAAAGAGCGCGGGAGGCCUAUACGUGACGGACGCAUAAUAUAUAAUAAAUAACUAGAUUUAAAUAUUUUAGGUCGGUGGUUCGGUUAUAGCAGUCUUUAGUGUUAGUGGGUUGGGUUAUUAUAGUUGGCAUCAAAGCUGGUUCACUAGCGGAAGUCUUUAGUGUUAAUGGGUUAGGUUAUUAUAGUUGGCAUCAAAGCUGGUUUACUAGCGGAAAAUGUGAGUAGGGGUGUAAAUGAGCCGAAUACGAGCGAGCUGGGGUCAGCUCGUGUUCGGCUAACGAGCUGAACGACGAGCUGACCCCAGCCGUGUUCGGCUUGUUUAUUAAACAAGAGCGAACACGAGCUGGCUCUAAAGUAUCGAGCCGCAAAAAUUCGCUCGUGUUCAGACUCGUUAUUAACGAGCCGAACACGAGCUGGCCUACGAGCUGGCAACGAAAAUAAAUUAAAAAGAUUAGAUUAAAUAUAUAUAAAAUAUAUAAAAUUUAUCCAUUAGAGUUUGAUCUAAUAGUGAAACUUUACAUAUAAAUGAGUCUUUUUAUAUUAAGCUCGUAUUAUAUUUUAUUUUACUAAAAAUUAAAUAAUAAAAUAUAUAAUAUAUAUAAUUAAUUUAUAUAUAUAAAAAUAUAAAUACAAAUAAAUUAAUAAAUAUUAAAAUAUAUUAUUCGAGUUCAUCGAGCCGAACACGAGCGAGCUGACCCCACUCGUGUUCGCUCGUUUAUUAAACGAGCUAAAAAUUCAGACUGUGUCGGCUCGUUUAAAAAAAACGAGCGAGCCGAUCUCAGUUCAUUUGAGCCGAAUACGAGCUGGCUCCGAACACGAGUUGGAUUGCACCCUAAAUGUGAGGUGGGCGUCACAUUAUUUGAUGAUUUUUAGCUUGUGUGUAUAGUGUUGACGAGAAAACGUCAGUUUAAAAUUGAUGUGCUUAAACUGGGUUUAAAUAUUUUGAGCUGACAUAUUAGGACCCACAAAUUAUUAGUGCCAGUAGGCUGAAUUAUUACAUAUCCAAAUAGUAUCACUCACAUAGAAAAACGCUCACGAGUGCAGUGCAUUUGUACAUCCUAAGAAAUGGUGAAAUCUUACACCCUCUUAUUUAAUGGUAAUAAAUUAUAUGUUUGUCAAAUUUUUUAAAAUAUUAACAAUUUAUUAGGUUUUGUGAAUUAUAAAAUAAAGUGUAAAAUCUAAACUCUUUUUUGACAGAUGUACAAAUAAUAACUUUCCUUUCCUUGCUCACCUAUUGCUCAUGAAGUUUCUUCCGAAUCAAAAUGAGAACUACCAACAUACAUAUUGCCGUAUAAGAGGUAAAGAUCACUUUUGGUGCUUUGCCUUUUUUUUUUUUCUUUUUUUUUUUUUUUUUUUCUUUUGAAAUCAAUAACAAAGCGAUACUCUUCUAGUUGAUAAUUUUGAUUUCACUAACAAAUAUUUAAAAUAUUCAAUUUAUUAUCAUAUUUUUUAUUUUAUUUGGCUUUAAAAUAUAAGCUAAUUAUUUUUUUUAAUGAAUUUAUAGUUACGAGGAAUUAUAUAAAAUACUAGCGUAAAUGCUGUAAAUAAAUAAUAUAGUUCAAAUUUUAAAAUUAAAGUGUCAUUGACUUACUCAAAUUAAAUAAAUUAAAAUAUUAGAUCAUAGUUCAAAAAAGCUAUGUUCUUUUUUACUAAAUGGAAAGAAAGAAAAAAAAAUUGUAAAACUUUAAAAUUUUGAUUGAAAAGUUUUAAAUUAAAAUAGAUCUUUAAAAUUUGGUUCAGAAUAAAUCAUACAAUUCACCAAAAUGUUUUAAUAAGAUCUCGUUCGGCUCAGGGAAGUUGCCCUUGCAGAUGGUACUAAUAAUUACACACAAAAAAGUGCUCAAACUAAAAACAUUAUCACAAAGAUGAAAGACCGUGUGAAAAGGUGGUCAACAGUCUCGCAAAAGUCAGUACCCUAGUUAGUUAAUUCGCAAAUUAUUCACGAAUUAUUCAUGAGUUAUUGAAAAUCCGAAUUAAAUGGUCCGUUUACAAAUUUUUUCCAAAGAAAGAAAGUUAUUCGUGAAUUUUUGGGCCAGCCGAAUUAUUCACGAAUUAUUCGCGAGUUAUUAAAAAUAUAAAUAAAAAAUUUAUAAUUUAUAUUUUUAAAUAUAAAUUAUCUUAUAUUUUAUAUCAAAUUCGAUUUUUAAGCCGAAUUUUUCAACGAAUUUAAAAAUUAGAAAACGAAUUUUAUGCGUAUUAUAUCCGUAUCAAAUUUUUGCCGAAUCUGAAUUUACUAAUUAUGGUCAGUACAGAGCACACAGGUCUUAUCCCCCAUCCACCCCCUUCAGAGAUUGUGUGAAAUUUUUUUUUUUUUUUCGCUUUCUUUCAUAUGCCUAUUUGCCUUAUAUAUGUAGCUAAGUUUAUUAUUAUCAAUGAAAGAAGCGGAUAGCGUGCUAUCUUAUUCUCGAAAAAAAAAAAAAGACCAUGUGAAAUUAACUUCCGUUCUCAAAACUAUAACCGUUACACCUAGGUCUUUAAAUUUUAAUUUGUUACAAUUUUUUACUUGAAUUUUUUAAACUUUAAUAAAAUCUGACAAUCUAAUUUAGUUAAUUAAAUUUUGAUGUGUUAUUAAUAUAAGUGCGUUUGGUUCGAGUUAUCCUGGCAGGAUUACAGGCAAUCCUGCUAGGAUAACUGUGUUUGGUUAAUCCGCUAUGUAAUCUAGUCGUUAAUGUAGCAUUACAAAUCGAGCAGGAUUACAUCGAAAAUAUUAACGGGAGUGGGGUCGUGUAUCUUGCAUUACUGAAAUCCAUUAAUACUACAUAUUAUGUAAAAUGACAAUUUUACCCUCCAACAACCCCAAAUCUAAUUAACAGCAUUAUUUUCAUCUCUCUCGCCUUCCCCCCGGCCCUCUCUCUUGCACGCCGCUUUCUCUCGCUCUCUCUCUCUCUCGACGUCUCUCUCUCUCUCUCUCUCUCUCUCUCGCACGAACACCUAUCAUCUUCUAUUGCAUCGUCCUCCCAAGUAAUCAUCACGAUCUCCUACCCUCCAUUUGUCAUUUCCGUAAAAAAUAAUAUUCAAAUGACCACAAUAAGGGCAAUUUUGAAAAAAAUUAUACUUUUAUGUCAGAAUUACUAAAUUUUAUAAACUGAACCAAACAUAUUAAUGCUAUAAACACUGUAAUAUAGUAUUACAUUACUGUAUUAAACCAAACGCUCUAAUACAGCAUAGGUAGUACUCUUACGCCGAAAUUCAAGGUACCUGGAUAUGUCGAGAUACUUUGUAAUAUUGCAUAACUCGAACCAAACGGACCCUAAAAGUAACGUAGCAUCUUAAUUGUUAUUCUUAUUUAAUAUUAGUGACAUAUCAAUAAUUAAUAAAUUAAAUUAAAUUUUUAAAUUUGAUUGCAAUAAAUUAAAAUUUUAAAUUAAAAAUUAUAAUAAAUUGGUGAAGCGCUUGGUCCUUUUUUUUCGCUCUUUAUAUGUAGAGAGAGGGGGAAAAGCGAGGCAGGGGACCGUUGGGGGCUCUCUUCUCUCUCUCCUCUGUGUAUCGUUUUUGAAGAGGAAAUAACACAAACAGGUGAGGGGCGUAGAGAGCGACUCGACCAAAGCGUGCGAAUAGAGAUGGAAUUGGAGAAGAAGAGCGUUGGGAUCCUCGCCAUGGACAUCUACUUCCCUCCUACUUGCGUUCAACAGGUCUAAGAUGAGAUUUUUUUUUUUGUUUUUUGGGUGUUUUUUUCACCAUUUUUGGUCGAUUUUGUUUCCCUUUCUCGGUCCUUUAAAGCUUAAUGCGUGGUCUUAGUGUCGAAGGGGUGGUUUUAGCUCGCAUCUUAGGGGUUUUUUGGGUCUCUUCCAUGGUAAGAUCGUUUAGGGUUUCGUGAUUUGGGGAGUCCAAUGAGAGGUGGGUUUGAUACGAGAGAUGGUGGGUUCUACUCCAGCUUAUUUUGGAAGGGGCUCACUUGCGUCGUGACUCGUGAGUCAUGUUUGUUUCUGGUGCACGGGAUCUCAUGGUGGGGACCUUUUGGGUUUCUCUGAGAUUGUUGUCUCCAUCUCCCCGUUGAUAAGUCUCUUUUUCAGAUACAUUUUUUAUUCCGAGUUUAAUGUGGAUAUAUACGUGUUUUAUCCAUGAUUUAACAAAUAAAAAUGUUACUUUUUUUUUCCCUGAUCAAAGUUAAAAAGAUAAAGGAAAAAAAAAUCUGUUCUUGCAUCGAAGAGUGAUGUAAAGAAGGCAUUUUGCUGCUGUUAUUGUUUUGUGAAGUUCACUUUUGUUGUGAUUCUUUGUGUUAACUUUUGGAGUUAUGUAAAAUCGUGUUCUUGACGCAAAUGGCGGUGGUGGUCGCAGGAAGAGUUGGAGGCUUACGAUGGCGCGAGUAAAGGGAAGUAUACCAUCGGGCUCGGGCAGGAUUGCAUGGCCUUCUGCACAGAGUUGGAAGAUGUGAUCUCCAUGAGGUUGCCCCUGUGCAUAAGAAACUUUACGACAUUACAUCUUUUGAUUCUUUUACUUUUGGAUUAAUUCAUUUAACUGAUAUACACUAUUAUGCCAUCUUCAUUAGUUCUGCAAAAUCUUGUAAUGGUGGUGCAGUUCAACAGAACAUAUAUAUAUAUAUAUAUAUAUAUAUAAGGUCUGGCUACUAUACUAUUAUGAGUACGAUCGCUCUCGUACUCAUAAAUCGUUUUCGAUGAUAGAGCUUCCGAAUCGAUUACCCAUACCGUUAAACGUUAUUUACAGCAUUUAAAACUUCUAGAAAUCAAAUUUUGUAAUUUUUCGACAUCAUUUACCUUACGAUCAAGAGGUCACAAAUUUGACAAUUUUUAAUGGCCGGUAUGGGAUACUUUCUAGUUUAACGGUGUAAAACAAUCGGAAUUUGUUGAAUUUUUUAUAGAAAAUUCUAUUCACUACAUAGAUAAAGAUCAAUAACUCCGAUCUUGAAUUGAAGGAUCCGAUCAUUCUUUUUUAGGAUGUCAUUUGAUUUUGACCGUUCAUUUUAUGCCCGCUUGAUGGACUUUAUUAUAAUUUUGAAAAUUUACGAAAUUUAUUUUCUAGAAGUUUCAAAUACUCUAGAUCAUAUUUAACGGAGACUACGGAGUGGAUCGUCGAUUCAGAAGCUCCAUCAUCGAAAACAGCUUAUGAAUAUGAGGGCUCCAAUACUCAUAAUAGUAUAGUAGCCACGGCCUAUAUAUAUAUAUAUAUAUAUAUAUAUAUAUAUAUAUAUAUAGUGGGCUGGUAUGCUUCUGAAGCACGGAGCCCUCUGUGCUUCCAAGUUGUUUUCGAUGUUCGGACUUUCGAAUCGACGAUUGGCUCCGUUAGAGUUGAUUUAGAGUAUUUGAAGUACCUAGAAAAUAAAUUUUGUGAUUUUUCGAUAUCAUUUGCCUAGUGAUCGAAGGGGCUCAAAAUCAAUAAUUUUAACGGCCGUGGUGAGCCGUUUGCAAGUUUAACAGUGUAGAAAUAUCCAAAUCACAUUAAAUUUUGAUAGAAAAUUCUUUAUACCAUAUAAAACAAAAUCAAUAACUUUGAUCUAAAAUUUUAAUAUCAUAUCAUUAUAUUUUGUAAGAUUUUUAUUUUCAGCCGUUGAUUUUGAGCCACUUCGAUCACUAGGCAAAUGAUAUCGAAAAAUCGCAAAAUUUAUUUUCUAGAUACUUCAAAUACUCUAGAUCAAGUCUAACGGAGCCGAUCGUUGAUUCGAAAGUCCGAACAUCGAAAACAACUUGGAAGCACGGAGCGCUCCGUGCUUCCAGAAGCAUACCAGACACACACUCUCUCUCUCUCUCUCUAUAUAUAUAUAUAUAUAGUCCGGCUACUAUACUCUUGUGAGUACGAUCGUCUUCGUACUCAUAAGUUAUUUUCGAUGAUAGAGCUUCCGAAUCGACGAUCCAUACCGUUAAACAUUAUCUAGAGCAUUUAAAACUUCUAAAAAUCAAAUUUUAUAAUUUUUCGAUAUCAUUUACCUUACGAUCAAAAGUUCACAAAAUUGACAAUUUGUAACGGCCGAUAUGAGAUAUUUGCUAGUUUAACGGUGUAAAAGAAUUGGAAUAGGUUGAAUUUUUUUAUAGAAAAUUAUGUUUACUACCUAAAUAAAGAUCAAAACUCCGAUCUUAAAUUGAAGGAUCCGAUUAUCCAAUUUUAGGAUGUCGUUUGAUUUUGACCGUUCAUUUUAUACCCGCUUGAUGGACUUUAUAAUGGUUUUGAAAAAUUACGAAAUUUAUUUUCUAAAAGUUUCGAAUACUUUAGAUCAUGUUUAACGGUGUGGAUCGUCGAUUCGAAACCCCCAACAUCGAAAACAACUUACGAGUACGAAGGGCUCUAUACUCAUAAGAGUAUAGUAGCCCUAUAUAUAUAUAUAUAUAUAUAUAUAUAUAUAUAUAUAUAUCCUAGGAUUUCUGGCUCUUUAGGAUUUGUUUUGUUGUGCAUGACUGAAAUGAAAAUUCUACUUGAUGAGAUAUUGAUAUAGUGUAGUGGUUCAGCUUGACGGUUGUCACAUCCCUCCUCGAGAAAUAUCAGAUAGAUCCAAGUUCCAUUGGCCGCCUAGAAGUGGGAAGUGAGACUGUGAUAGACAAGAGCAAGUCUAUAAAGACAUGGCUGAUGCAAAUAUUUGAGGUUUGUUUUUGUCUUGAAAAUUACACAUUUGUCGUUGUGAUGCAACUAUUUAUAAACACCCUGUGUUGUGGUUAUUUGCUAUUUGAGGUCUGAGAAAUCAUAUGUAAACACCUUUUGUGGUGUGUGUGCCUUUUGUCAAAGGUGCGAAGUCUCUGUUCUGAAUUUGGGUUCACUUGCUGAAAUUUCGUCUUCUUGGUAGUUUUGGAUUUCCAUGAAACAUUCUCAAAAUGUUAUUGAAAUAUAGAUAUGAGAAGAACCAAUAAUGUAUACUUAUUUAUCAUAUAUAAAAUUCUCAAUUUGAAUGUAAUUUAGAAUAGAACAAAGUAGAUACUAGCUGAACCAGCUGAAGCUGCCAAAAUUGAUCUAAACCAAACCAAUGGACUGAUAUCAGCUAAAACCAUCAUGUUAGAAACUGACGGACCUGAAGAAGCCAAUGAAGCUGUCAAAACUCGACCAAUUUUGUGUCCAUUUUACCAGUGUUCAGUUUUGCUCAAAAUUUUUAACGAUGUGUCGACGUUAGUCCUGAAAAUUUUUGCCAAACUAGAAUUUCCUUGUCAGUCUACUUAGUGCAGUGUAUGUUCUCCAACUAGGUCACUAAAUGUAAUGUGGCAACUUUCUCAUGAAACACAGGAAUAUGGCAAUAGCGAUAUUGAAGGAGUUGACUCAACAAACGCUUGCUAUGGGGGGACAGCUGCUUUGCUUAACUGUGUGAAUUGGGUGGAGAGCAACUCAUGGGAUGGCCGUUAUGGACUUGUUGUUUGCACCGACAGUGCGGUAUGAGUUCAUUAUCUAUUUUGAGAAACUACAGUCUUUUCUCGAUUAUGGCAUUGAAUAUUUUGUACGUCUAUCAACAAAGUCUAUGAAUCCAAAUGCGUGGAUGAUCUUUUCUUUUCUAUUUCCUCCGUUAUUGGUGUUGUGCACUUGACUUUCUCUUGACCCAUAAUGAUUUGAAACUGUUUUUCCCGAAGGAUGCUGAUAUUAUCUUUUGUCGACGAGCAAUCCAUUUGUUUAGGUUAUGUAGUUUAUGAAAAUCACAUGGCAAAUCCAUUAGUGUGUUCCAUGCUUAUUGUCUUUUGGAGAUUUAUUCAUUUACAGUACUUGUUCUUUUGUUAGGUUUAUGCAGAAGGACCAGCUCGGCCUACUGGAGGUGCAGCUGCUAUUGCAAUGCUGAUUGGGCCAAAUGCUCCUAUUUCUUUUGAAAGCAAAUUAAGGGGAACUCACAUGGCUCACGUUUAUGACUUUUACAAGCCUAACCUUGCGAGUGAAUAUCCGGUUUGCUUUUUCACUCCAUUGUCAUCUUAUGCUUUCUAGUUUACUGAUUUAUCAAAUUCAUUUGAAAUUCUUUUUUGUUCAUGUACUAUCUUUUAUCAUUGGUUUAAUAAAUUGCUCUAAUUUCUGAACCAAAUGUUUCUGAGCAAAAGUUGAGCCAAAGCCAGAUGCCUCCACUGUAACCUCUUAUCAUGUCUUGUUAGUGACAGUAUUCAUGGAUUUUCUGACAGAUGUUCAAAAUGUUCGUCUCAUUGAUACAAUAUUUAAGAAGUGUUGUUUAUUGGCUUGAUUUUUUCAGUUGAACAAGCUGAUGUGAACAAUUAACAUUGUGUUGUAAAAAUGAACUCUAUUUAUCAUUUAUCUUUUUUUUCCUCAUUUCUCACUAGAUUCUGUGGUGUAGGUUGUUGAUGGGAAGCUAUCACAGACGUGUUAUCUCAUGGCGCUUGAUUCUUGUUACAGGCUGUUGUGUAACAAGUAAGAUAUGAUCAUGAAAGGUGGUAAUUUAAGUUCGACUUACACCAAUUACUUUUACUGAAUUAACCAUUUUCAUUCGUCAGGUAUGAAGGUCUUAAAGGAGAACAAUUUUCAAUUUUUGAUGCAGACUAUUUUGUUUUCCAUUCACCGUACAACAAGGUAUAGAAAACAUUUAUAUUUAUUCUUUAUUAUUUUGUUUUAUAUUUAUUCUUUAUUAUUUUUUCCUUACUGUGUGAAUCAGUGCCUCUUUGCUCUUUACUUUAUAUUCUACUUUUGCCGAGCUACAUAUUGGGGUCAUAAAAAAUUAAGUGAAUCAUUUCUUUUUCGCAAUUCAUAUUCAUAGCAGAUUUUUAAACAGUUUUUUGUCUUUGCUCUUGAACUCGUAUACAGCUGGUCCAGAAAAGCUUUGCUCGUUUGUACUACAACGAUUUCUUGCGAAAUUGCAGGUUCGGUCCUUCAACUUUUAAUAUUACCUGAUUUUCUAUUAUCGGCUACGGUACUAGUGAGGUUUUUGUAGACAAAUGGUGCUUGUAACAAGAAUGCAUUGGUUUACCGUGCUUGUUCGUCUUGAACAGACCAGCUAGUUUGUCCACCUAAAUGAAAUGCAGUUUCUCACACCACUUUAGAGACAAGAUUAUUGCUUGUCACGUUCAGUUUCUAUUUCUUUGGUGUUAUCUAAAGUUGUCCUUUACGGCGUCACUCAGCUGUGUUGAGAAGGACGCGAGGGAAAAAUUGGCGCCUUAUUCAAGCUUGUCUAGCGAGGAAAGCUACCGAAGCCGUGAUCUUGAAAAGGUUAAUCUUGAUGCUGCUCCAGUUUCGCAUGCUUACAUAGUUUUCGGUUCUCUUUAUCUCUUAUUGUCAUAUUGAUAAAUGUUCUUUUCUUUGAAUCACGCAGGCCUCACAACAAGUCGCAAAGCACUCGUACGAUAAAAAGGUUCAACCGUCCACUUUGCUACCUAAACAAGUUGGAAAUAUGUACACUGCAUCACUUUAUGCAGCAUUUGCAUCGCUCAUUCACGACAAGCACAAGACUCUGGUGCAGGACAUUUCCUUUUCUCUUUCAUUUCCUUUUGGUCUGUAAAACACUUCUUGCGAUGUAAUAUUUUCCAACUUUUAUUACAGGAUGGGCAACGGGUCGUUAUGUUCUCGUAUGGUAGCGGGCUGACUUCGACAAUGUUUUCGCUCAAACUUAAUGAAGGGCAACAUCCGUUCAGCCUAUCAAACAUUGCCGAUGUGAUGAACAUGUCGGAAAAAUUGAGUAAACGGCAUGUGGUACGUCUGUGGAAAUCAGAGGAAAAGUGGUUACUCUUUAUUUUUAACGAAGAAUUCUAGAAUCCUACCAUCAGUUAGGCUUGGCAACGCAAGCUAUAUCACUACACUUGAGUUCAAUGCUGAGAUCUUUGUUGACAUUACGUUUAUUUUGGCACACUAACUUUUUUGUUGUCUUUUUUCAUUCAGUUCUCCCCCGAGAAAUUCGUUGAGAAUAUGAAGAUUAUGGAACACCGAUACGGAGCGAAGGAUUUCGUGAACAGCGACAACACGAGCCUGCUAUCGGCUGGAACGUUCUACCUCACCCACGUCGAUUCAAUGUAUCGGAGAUAUUAUUUGAAGAAGGGCGAGAACGAGGUUGCCAACGGCAAGAUUGCUCCGAAUUCCCUGGUUCAUUGAUGAAAUGAAUGUAAAAGCAGCCGUCGAUUCCAGAGGAAUAGUCACCUGUCGGAAACUAGAUUGGAAAGCUCGAAUUGGUCAUUUGCUUCAACUAUCUUGUAGCUGCAUGUUGCUUAAAGUUUGUAAAAUUCCAGCUUCCUAGUUAAUGUUAUGUUCAGUAAGCAUAUCCAAUCUUUUGCUACUAUGUAUUGUUCAUUCCACUCUGAUUAGCAAGCAAGAUGGUUAUCAUUCUCUAGUACAGGAGAUUAUCUUCUAAGUUUUUUGAAGUAGAAUAUUUAGAUAAUCCUUUUUGUUCUCUUUUUUUUUUGUUUUUUUUUUAUUAGAAAAUCUUCCGGGGUGAGCACUAUUCGGUUAAAACUGAACCACUAAAUGAAACUGAGCGAAUCGUGUAGUUCAGUUUUAUCCAAUUUAGUUUGGUUCGGAAUUUAGAAAUUGGAAAAAUCAAAAAAACGCAAAAAUUGCAAACUAUUUAUUAAUCUUAAUAUUAUUAUUAUAGUUUGGAUUAAUAAGUUUUAAUAUAAAAUUAGUUGUUACUAUUAUCUUAUUUUUAUUAUUUAAAAAGAUUUAAAACCAAACAAAAGUAUUUUAUUAGAACCAAAUAAAUUGAAUCGAGCUGAUGGAAUUAUUUCGGUUUGCUUUCAGGAACCUUACUUGAUGCGAGAAGUGCAAAUCUCUUUAAUUUAUUUAAAAAGUUAAUAGUAUUUAACAGAAGAGGAGUGCAGCAGUAAAUAAGAUAAGUCAUUUCAUAUAUAAAAUGUACUAAUUUUAUUAAAUUAUGAACACUAAAAUUUUUAAAGAGUAAAAAUUAAAUUUACUUCCAAUCGUAAUAAAAAUUUAUAUUAAAUAAAUUAUUUUUAAAUAAGUUACCCCCAUAUUGAAGUAAAACCGUAGAUUUAAAAUACUUAGAUCGCCACUUUCUGUCUGAGAAGGUGGUCUAAAACGUCACACUUACACGACAUUAUUAUAUCUCAAAUCAAUCAUAUUAAUGUAAUAACUUUUUUUUCAAAAAAAUUAUCACAGAAUGAUUAACUCUAUUAAAGACUCAUUUGGUGAGGAAUAUGAAUGCCAUAGUGCAACUAUUUUUUUAGAGAAAAAUAGUAUAUUAUUUAUUUUUUUAUUUUUUAAAAAUAAAUUUAGCUGAAAGCAUGAAGCAACUAGAUUACGAAUUUGAGAUCUCGAGUAUCAAUCACUGAGCCUUUUGCUAUAGUACAACUGUAGCGUGGAACAUAGAGAAUUUUGAAGGGAAGCAAUGUGACCUGAAAAUUGUUGCAUGUGUAGGUAGGGGUGUAAUAUGGGCCAUGCCGGACCAGAGCUACCAAACCUCCAGCUCAGCACGGCUCUGAGACCCGAAAGGCUCAGGCUGUACCAGGCUGGGCCGUGCUCCAUGCGAUUCCUAAAAGAAUAUAUUUUUUUAAAAAAAUAUAAAAUUUAAAAUAUAAAUAAUAAAUUAUUUUUAUUUAAAUUAAUAUUUUGAUUACGAAUUUUAAAAUUUAUAAAAAUAAUUAUAAUAUAAUAAAUAUUUAAUUUUAAAAAAAAUAUUAUAUUUUUUAAGAAAAAAAAUUGGAAAGGGUGCAUUGGACCAAAAACCUCCUUCCAAGGACUACAAUGAAGAGCUCCUGGGUUCCCACGCAGGAGCUCAAAUUGGGCCCAAGACAACCUUGCCUUGGAUUCGGACCGUGCUGGCCCGGCACGGCCCAGACCCACCUCGGGCCGUGCCACGUCGAAUCGUCAGGUCCAAAAAGAGAGGCCCAACACGGCCCUGAAGCUUGGGCGGGAUCGGCCCGGGUGUUAUAGCACCGUACCGUACCCGUCCGGCCCAUUUUACAUUCCUAGUGUAGGCCGAAAACUUGAAAUAAUAUAAUAAUAUAAUAAUAAUAAUAAUGCACGGUGGUGGAGCAAGUUCCGGGCGAUAAUUUCUCCCUCACCGACUUCCAAUUCGCGGCCUCACCCCGCGCCUCUCUUCUCCCACUUUACCUCUUCUCCAAACCAAACAAAAACCCUAGACCCCAUUUCCUUCCCCAGAGCACCGCUCGACUCAUCCCUUCUUAUCGCAAAAUGGCCUUCGAAGACGACGAACACGAAAGAGUAGGAGGAGAGGAAGAAGAAGCCCAUCUCCAGUCGCUUCUCGAAGCUUCUCGAACCCCCGAGGGCCGCUCCCGCCUCGCCGGAACCCUAGCCCCCCUCCUCCUCCGCCGCCUCUCCCCCUCCUCCCCUCCCCGCAUCCUCCUCCUACGCCUCCGCCUCCUCCGCAACCUCUGCGCCGGGGACGUCGCCAACCAGGGCGCCUUCCUCGAAUCCGACGGCGCCGGCGCGGUCGCCGCCGCGAUCCUCCGGUCGCCGCCGGAUCCGACGGCGGAGAUCCGCCGGGCGGGGCUCCAGCUCCUCGGGAACGCCGCGCUCGGCGGGGAGCCCCACCGGGGCGCCGUGUGGACCCGGCUCUUCCCCGCCGGGUUCUUGGAGCUGGCCCGGGUCCGUGAACCCGGCGUUUGCGACCCCCUUUGCAUGGUGCUCGACACGUGUUGCUCCUCCGUUGGUGGGCGAGGGCGCUUGGAGGAGCUUUGUGGAACAGCGGCUGGGAUAGCUAUUAUCGUGGAGAUCGUGACCACUGCGUCUCAAGGUGUGGGGGCAUCAUAAACCCUAAAUUUGGUGAUAAUUUUUUUUGUUUUUUUAAAAGCCCCAUUGUGUUCUUUAUAAAGCAUGCAUUUUUAAGCUUGCUAAGUUGAGAUUAGGAGAUAACGUUCUCAAAAACAAUUAGGCUGUUUAUUGAAGAUGGAACAUUCGGAUCGACAAUCAACUCUGUUAAACAUUAUUCGGAGCAUUUGAAGUAUUUAGAAAUCGAAUUUUAUUAUUUUUAGGACUUACAAUCAAGGACAUCAUCAAGUGGCUGCGAAAUGAACAUUUAAAAGGAGUAACAUUGCGAAAAAUAGUGGUUUGAUUUUUUUUUUUUUUUUUUUUUCAGAUGCAGAUUGGAGUUGUCAAAUGUGGUCUAAACUCAUAAGUACCGAAAGAAUGUUCUAUGAAAAAUUCAGCGGGUUUAAAUUGUUCUAAACCAUUAAGCGAAUGAAGAGCGAAAGGCUCGUUUAGGCUGUCAAAAUUUGUCUAUUUUGAACCCUUUAGAUCACUCUUUAGAUCACUCGAUAAAUAAUUUUUAAAAAAAUUAUGAAAUUUGAUUUUUAUGUACUUCAAAUAUUCUAAAUUAAAUUUAACGGCGUCAAUCGCUUAUUUGCAUGCCCCAUCACAUACGACUCUGUAGUAAAAUAUGCCAUUUACUCUUUAGUGUGUUCAAGCUCAACUCUUUCAAAAGACAUUGCUUUAUGGAUUUAUUACUGAUGACAUAAUUCUAUUGAGAAUGUAUCUGAAUUUAAUGCUGUAAAAUUUUUUUUGGGGGAAAAGAUCAGGUUUUUUUUAUGCUUGUUUGUUUAACUGUAGAUACUGGUGAUUGCAGUUGGCUAUCAAGAGGAGUGGCUGGAGUGGCUUCUUUUCAAAAUCUGCGUGGAGGAGCGAAACUUCUCGAAUUUAUUCACUAAACUGAGCUUACCAGACGAUCCCGAUAGCUCUCCUCCACAUGAACUCGAAUCUGUAAAAUUCAACAUUAAGCAUGCAUUCCUCCUGGGGAUUCUUUCAAAGUGCUUGAGCGAGCGGCCGAAAGAAGUUAUUGUUUCCAACGAGUUCGCUCUUGACAUGCUGAAAAUUCUCAAGAGAGCUUCUGAAACUGUGGAUUUUGCUUCUCGAGGAAGCGCGGCUCUUCCUACCGGUUCUCCUGCUAUUGAUGUCUUGGGGUAUUCACUCCUCAUUUUGAGGGAUAUUUGUGCUUGGGAGCAUCCUUAUUCGCCUUCUUUAGACGCCCCCAUAGACUCAUUGCUCAAUGCUGGUCUUUUCGAGCUCCUUCUAACUUCCCUUCGCGAGCUCGAACCCCCGGCAAUCGUGAGAAAAUCCAUGGCGAGGGAACAAGCAAUUGAUCAAUUGACAUCUAGCCCUUCAAAUGUCUGCCCUUACAAGGGGUACAGGAGAGAUUUGGUUUCUGUCAUUGCGAAUUGCUUGCACCGAAGGAGGCGAGUUCAAGAUGAGGUCAGAAGGCAGAACGGGAUCCCGUUGCUCUUGCAGCAAUGCGUAGUCGACGAAGAUAACCCGUUGUUGAGAGAGUGGGGAUUGUUGGCGGUUAGGAACUUGCUCGAGGGGAAUGUGGAGAACCAGAAAGAAGUGGCGGAGUUCGAAAUGCAAGGGCCUGUCGUCACGCCGGAAAUCGCGCAGUUAGGGCUUAGAGUGGAGGUAGAUAAGGAAAAUCGGCGUGCAAAGCUGGUCAAUAUCAGCUGAUGUAAGUUGGAUUUGCACUUGAACUAGAGUUUUAGUGUGGCCGCUUACAAAGAUUUUAUGUUUUGUUGCUAAUUCAUGUGUGAGAUAUUUCUUUAUGUACUUUUCCUGCUCUUUUUGUGUUCGAUACGAUCAUACAAAUGACAGGUUAUCAGCCCAAUGUAUUCCAUAUGAUCAGGUAACACUAACUAUUAUGUAAUAGACUUCAUUAACAGUAUUUUGUCUCUGUGAGUAUAAUGAUUCAUAUCUUCAAAUCAAAAUUAUGAACACAAGCUUCUCUUAUAGAUAAAGAAUUAAAUUAGCAUAAAGAAGUUUCCGAACAGACUCAAUCAUGUACAGUGCAGGUUUAUAGGCCGAGGGUGACCGAAAGCUUUAAUCAGAGCAUUCGCUCAACAUUUAUCAACGAGUUUAAAGGAUUCAUAUUAUAACUAUACAGUAAAUUUGAUCAAUCACACAACAAUUUACUACAUGAUAAUAAAAUAGCUGAAUGAAUGAUAUUUCGUAAGCUUAUGCUUUCCAUUACAAUUUGAGGGUAUCAAAAUAAGCUUUAGAUAUUAUCGGUUUCUCUCUAUGUAUCCGCAAUGCUCCAUAUAAAAGCUGGUACAAGCAUACAACACCUUUGAAUAAAAAAAAAGAAAAAGAAAAAGGUGCAGGUAUUCAGGCCUUCUCAUCCACUACAAUAUGCUCAAGCUCGAGGUCUAACUGUUUAGUAUCACUUCACUCUUUACUUCGAAUCGAAGUAAAAGAAAUAGGCAAUGAAGCUAACACAGAAAAUCCGAACAAUGUCAAGCAAAAGAGACAUCCGAACGGAGAACAUAUUUAAUGUUUUUGGUAACAACACGAGCUUCAUGUAGCAUGCAGUCGUCUCCAUGAAUAUGAAGCAGCGCCAUUCCUGGAACCGGAGCGACCUACAAAUAAACCACAUUAGACCUGAGACAAGUGCAGAAACAAAUUAUCCAUUUUGCUACGUCAUGAGUUAUGAGGAAAUGAGACAGGGAAAGAGCGAACUCGAAGUUUAAGUUAAAAGGUUAUAAUAAGUUGCCGUUUUCACAAAUCAAAAGGGCAAAGUACCUCAGCUACAACUCGUCCUCUUUGAUCAUAAAAGACAGUUUCUCCUCCGACAAGAGACUCUGCCGAUGAAUCUUUGUUGUUGCCUUUGCCACUGAGAUAUAUUAAAAGGGUGUACUUCGUUAUGCGACCCUCUCCAAGAUCAACGCUCUCAUCAAUGUGGCGACCAAACCGCUGACCCACUGUAUACCUGGAAGAGGUCAAAAUCCAUGCUGUACCAUAGUUAGUUAAUUCGCGAAUUAUUCGCGAAUUAUUCGCGAAUUUUUGAUAUUCCGAAUAAAACGUCCGUUUUCGAACUUUUGGGAAAAAUUCGGAAAAAAUCGCGUUUUAUUGGAUAAAAGUAAUUAUUCGCGAAUUAAUCGGGUUCGCGAAUAAUUCGGAUCAAAAAAACGUCGCCGUUGCUGCGACUGCGAUGCUGCGACUGCGAUGCGGUCGCGGGCUUCGUGCAUGGCCCAAAACAGAAAAGAGUUCGCCUCUCAAAAAAAAAAAAAAAAAAACCUUCUCUGAAAUCGCCCCCUCCCAGUCUCCCAAACUCCCACCCCCACCCCUCCCAAAAAAGGGUUUGCCCUAACUUCUCACCCCUGCGGCGGUGCGGCCCUGCCACCGACCCGUGCGGCGGUCGCGGUCCCUUCCCCUCCCCCUCUUCCCUUCCGGCUGCUCGCCGAACGCAAUCGGAAGCCCCCCUCUUCAGAAAUCGAAGAUCGAGUUCUUCACUCUUCAGAAAUCGAAACCCUCCCCGUCGCCUCUUCCUCUUCCGCUUCCGCUAUCCAACGAUAUAUAGAUCAGUAAUAAGGUGGUUCUUUACAAACCAAGUACGAUUUGAGUUUUCAUUUUUUAAAGCAAAAGUUGGAAGCUUUUAGUCCAUCUGAUGGAUACUUUUUUAGACACAAAUGGCUCGAGUGCUUAAAUUGAAUGUGUCCAUUCUCUGUUAUGCACCUUAAAUUGUUAAGAACUUAAGACCCAAACAUAGAGCUAAAUAAUGUUAAUUAACCUAGGGACCAUGCCUACUUUAGACUUUAGAAUUUAUGAACUCUUGUAUUUUACAUUUAAAUAUGGACUAUCUUGAUCUCUUAUUUGCUUAAUUAUUUAUUCUUUUUUAGGCAUAAUAUAGUUUAUUAUUUUUUUAUUUAAUUUUGUAGCUCGUUAUUCUUAUAUUCUUAAAAAAUAUGAAUAUUUAUGCUAAUAGCAUAAAUUUUAAGAGGAAAAAAUUUAAUUUAAUAGCCGAAUUUUUGAUCCCGAAUUUUUAAUUGGUGAACGUAUAAUAUCCGUAUAAAUCACGUAUCCGAAUAAUUGACUAAUCCGUUUUUUAGCCGAUUUUUUCAACGAAUUUAAAAAUUAGAAGACGAAUUUUAUCCGAAUUAUACCCGUACCGAACUUUUGCCGAAUCCGAAUUAACUAACUAUGUGCUGUACUAUAAACUAAAAGUAAAAUUCACAGCAUGCGCACCUCAAUAUCAUUGUUGGUUCGGCUAAAUUAGUAACUUAAUUUUUGACAAAAAGAUAGGUCGAAAUUUUGCAAAAUCAUAGGCAUAGAAGAGAUCUCAUACAGCGCUUUUCCUUUAUCACUAGGUUGCCUUUUUUUUUAUAUAUAUACUUGCAAAGUUGCAAUAGUGAAAGGAUAGCAGGAAGUACAAUGUAUGAGAGAAGAAACUUGAACAUCUGCCAUUACCUGUAGAAUCUAAUAUUUGGAUUUAGACCCACAGCUACUUCGCCUGGAAGUUUGAUAUCGCCAAAUAUUUUCUUUAGGCCCGACUCCCAGAUGACUUCAGCUAGCGAUGGGUCGGUCAUGGAUAUACGAUCGUUGUCUCUAUACGCUUGGCCUCUAGCUGGUCCCAAGCUUCCCUGGUGGGUGAAGCCAAUUGCCUCUGCGGCUUCAACGAAAGCACUUGCUUCAGCAGCGCUGAAGAAAUUCGGUACCUAAAACAUUUCACGUAUUGCAUGAGAAAACCUAAACAGUUCGGAUUCACGACCAGAUUCAAAUACUUAGAAAAGCAGGAUCGAUUUUUCACGACAUUCUCGAGCCUACGGGCGGCUUAAACUUCAACCAAGUACUUUAGUCAAAAGCCAGGAGCCAAAAGAGAGACUACAUGUUCUCCAAAUUUCUAUACUCGAUAUUAGGGGUGGCCAUCCAGCUCGCUGUUCGCGAGCCAUCGGGUUCGCCGAAAUGAGCUCGAGAUCGCUCGCUCGCUUUAGUAAACGAGCCCGAACACCGAGCUGGAUUUUUCAGCUUCGUGUAAAAACGAGCCGAAAGAGUCUGGGUCAGCAUCCAUCCGUGUUCGCUCGUAUAACAGCUCGAAUACAUAUUUAUUAUUUAUAUAUUAAUUUAUUAUUUAUAUUUUAUAUAUAAAUAAAUAAUUAUAUAUAUAUAAUAUUUUUUAUUAUUUAAUUUUAGCAAAAUAAAAAUAUAAUGCUAGUUUAAUUAUAAAAAAAACUCAUUUAUAUUAAAGUUUCAACUAUUAAUAGAUCAAAAGUUUAAUGGAUAAGAUCUUUAUAAACUUUUUUUUUUACAUAUAAUUUAUCAUAUUUUUUUAAUUUAUUAUUCGUUUGGCCGCCUCAGGAGCACAGCUCGUGAACGAGCCGAACACAAGCUAUCUUUCGGCUCGAUUACCUUUAACGAGCCAGAUCGUUUCGGCUCGUUUAUUAACGAGCCGAACACGAGCCGACCCUAGCUCGCUCGUGUUCGGCUCGUUUACACCCCUACUCGAUAUCAGUCUUAGUGAAUAGUGACUAUGUUUUUGAAUCACUGUAUUAUAAGAUAAAAGUGUACAUACCUAACUUGAAUCAUGGAGCAUUUUGAAUCGGCUAUCCAACCAUUCACAAUUUUGAUUUUGCUAUCCAACCUUUUAAUUUAUUUGAUUUGCAAUAGUCAAUGGUAUUUUAACUUCAAAUUUUAAACUAAUUACUUUAAUGAAGUUAUAGUUUCAAAAAUUGCAUGAAGUAUACUAACUAAAUCUGUAAAGAUAAAUGACGUAUUCAAAUUUUAAAGUCAAAGUGCCGUUGACCGACUAAAAAUCAAAUAAAUUGAAAGGUUGGAUAGUAAAAUCAAAAUUUUGAAAGGUUAGACAGCAAAAUCAAAAUGGUCCAUAAUCCAAUAUGUUUCUACCAUUUCAUAAUUACUAAGUUCUUGAUUUGUUUAAAUCAAAGUGAAAAACUUAACCCUAUGGCUUCAAAUCAAAUGGUUAACAUAAUAGAGUAAAACUCCCUUAAUUUUAUUCCUCAUAAAUCAUAAUAGAGUAACUCUAACCAUCAACACGCAGAUAUAUACUCGAGUUUCGCAAAUAAAAUACAAUUUUGGGAUUUUGGGGCAUCCACAACUGGUUGAUUUGAUAACACGCUUCUCUACCUGAUUGCGGGAUUCAAUAUGGCCUUAAAUUAGGGCUAAACAAUGAGCAAAAACAGAUUAAUCCAAGCCUAAUUAGGUAAAAGCUGCAUCAAAUUGGAGAGUGAGAACAAUUAGGGUUAGCUAGGGUAUUCCUCUGAUGAGAUGGGAACACGACGUACCGUGAAGAGGAGGGUACCACGGAGGCGAUCGAUUUGGAGAUCCUUCUUGGGUUUAAUGGCGGGCCAUCUCCCUCCCAUCUCCUUUGCCCUACUCGUCUUCGUCUUCGUUUUCGUCUUCUUCCUCCGCUGCUCCCCGUCUCCCCCACCCGCGGCGCGAGUCGCCAUUGUCGAAGCUUCACCUUCGACAGGAAUUAGCUACCGGUGAAAAAUGAUCGGCGAGGGCGACGUGAGUUCGGGUAUAUGGGCACGAAGUGGGGAUGCAAAUGGAUCCCGGUUGGUGGAGCUCCGACCCGAUCCGCCCCGAAUGGUUAUAUGUAGGUGAGAACCAAAAAUAUAAAAAAAAAUGUAAUUUUUGUCGAACCGGAUCCACCAAAUAAAUAGAGCGGAACACGAAAAGCCUCUCUAAAUUUGCCCGCUUUUGUCCCAAUCCAUCUCAAAUAGAGCAAUAAAUGGUGAUAAAAAAUAAAAUUAAAAUUAAUUCGUCCCAAUCUAAUAAAAAAUAGAGUAGAAGAUACGAAACCCCUCCCACUCUGGAAUCCGCCCCAUUUGCAUCCAUUUGCAUUCCAAGAGCAAAGUACAAUGGGAUGAACUUAUUUUUUGACCAUCCACACACAUUACAUUAAAUUUAAAUUUAUGUGUAAUUUUAUUUUUUUCAAAACACCAUAACAAAAGUUAAAAUAAUAAUAAUAAUAAUUAUUAUUAUUAUAAUUUUUUUAUUCUUUUAUAUGCUAGUAUAAAAUUUUUGAUAAAAAAAUUAGAAUAUCUAUGAUUGUAAAGUCAAUUGAUUUUUCAUGAAACAAUUACAGCCGAAAAAAUAAAUUUUAUCUAAAUUUUAAUUUAAUUAAAAAUUAUUUUUAAUUUAAUGAUAUAACUCGCCCAUUACAUUCGAAUGAAGAAUUACUGAAACUAAGGGCACAAACCACAUAAUUUCAGCACAUAAAAUAAAUUUAUUUACAUCACAAAAGCCGGGAGACAGCCAAAAAUAGCUGCUACACAACUCACAUACAUGCUUAUAUAAUAUAAAUAAAUUGAUAUACAAAUUCAUGUUCUUUAAUCAGCGCAAUGUCAGCUGAGGCCUGUUUUUCUCAGAAUACCUGCAGGUCACCCAGCAGCUUUGAUGUCUACUCUACCUUUUCUAUAUUGUUAGAUUCUCUUGAAUGGCGAGAAAUGAGCCGCAAAUGUUUCCGCCCAAAUCAGGGAAAGUCUCGCAGCCGGGCAAGGGUCUCACCUUGCCCUUGCGGUCGACAUCCACGGGGUAUUUCAGAAGGUGGCCCCUCAUCUCAGUGAUCUGAUCGGAAGCGAACUGUCUCCAAUUCGUUUCUCCGAUAGACCGGACAUGCCUUAGACAUUCAAGGCUCUCCGGGCGCGUAAAGCUCUCCUCGAGAAAUCCUAUAUGCUCGGCCCAGAGUGACAUUCUAUAGCCGUGUAUCUACGAGUUACAUCAUCGAAACUAAGAUCAGAUAUCAUAAUAAGUUUCGGGUUACUUCAGUUUUUGUAGAAUGUCUCAUAGCUGAUUCAGUUACCUGUCCACGAGGAGCAGAUUGCUUCCGUGCCCAUGUGUACUGCGGCUGGUAAGCACCCAUUGCGAUCUCGGUAUCUCUCAAACCUUCCAAGGACCUCUGAUUGAUGUUCGCUGAUCCAAGUAUCACGAACUCGUCGUCCACGAUCAUGCCUUUCGAGUGUACAUAGAUCAUGAAUCUCCUGUUCUUCCUAGCAUGUUCCUGAGAAAAUAGCGUGAAUAAAUGUGAGGGCACUAGUCUCUCUCUUCCAAGAUGAAGCAUCCUAGUUAUUAUGUGCUUAAGAAUGCAGCUUAGUCUCUUGAGAUUAUAAAAGAAGAGACGUCCAUCGGCAAUAUCUAUUAGUCAUCUUAAUUAUUAGGUAAAAAUGUAUAAAACUGACCAAAUGGGUGAUAGUUGAGGUAAGUUUUAUACAUUUUCACCUAAUUAUUACUGCUGAAUAUAGUCUCUCAUGGUCAAGCCUCUAUUUUUUUUUCUUUAUCUUUUUUUUGUGUGUAUAAAUUUCCAAAAUACCAAUGCCAGCUGAAAGAAAAGGAUUGAAGUGAGGGGUUGUGCACUUUCAUACAUGUCUGAUGAUGGACAAUAGCUACGGAACUUUGAAAUAUUUUGUUGGACAUGACGAGCUUUUUCCUUAUUUGGAAGUUAAAAGUUCUAUUCUCACAUCUUAAUUGUAACUGCAGAUUACAAACUAUUCUAAGAUGAAUGCAAUCUUACUUGAGGAGUAUUUGCAGAGUUUGAAGUUCCAUCCGAAGCAUGAUAUGUGUCUACAGCCUCCCGAUUGCCAAGGCAAAAGAAGUUCAAAUAGUCUUGUGGCUCGUAUUUAUCCUCCAGUCCUACUUCCUUCAAGGCCCUAUAGAUUGUCUCAUACAUCAUCUGCAUCGUUUUAUUCUGCAGUGAUCGAGAACACGAAUAUCAGUUAUAGUGCAUUUUGUCAAAUAGCAAAGGAUAGCGUAUAGAAUUAUUGCAAAGCCUAGAAUAAAAUAAUAAUAAUAAUGCAAAAAAGGGGCAAAAAUAGCAUCAAAAUGAUGGAUGAAAUAUAAAUAUUUAUGACUGACUAAAUGUGCUACUCAAAAGCAUUCUUUGGCAAAUUUGCUAACUAGAUAGAUAGGAUAUCAUUGUUAUAAUUACGAAUUGAAAAUAGGGGAAAGUGAGAGACCAGUUUCAACAAUAACUGUUUAAAUCAGCAAAUUUUUAUGUAUUAUUAUGUGGCAAAUUAGGAAGUUGCCCAUAUCACCCAAAGAUCAGAUCAUAAUAGGUGAAUAGGUAUCAGAAGCAAAUUUUCUGCAGCAACGAAUUAUGUCAUUUCAACAACUAAACAAGUAGCUUCAAGUCCCUAACCAUAGGUUCAUUCCAUCUCCAAAGGUUAUUGGUAAGUGAAAAGUGACAACUAUUUGCCAGGUCAAUACUCUAGAACCGAUUACUUUUGAAUAGUGUGACCUUUUGUUGCUAUUACUGUUUUAAGUUCAUGAGCAAGGAAUCAAACCCAAUCAUUACUCGAACAACUUUAUGCCUAAAAAAUUCAUUCAUAGAAGACCAAUAGGUUGUUCCGAUUAAAUGAUGAUUUUGGAGGCCUUUAUAAAGGCAAAAACUAAAUUCAAAUAAUAUUAUCAGGAUAAGUCACCAUGCAUGACUAUUACGACUAAGCAACUUCUGUGUAACAGAAACAGUAAAUAGACCAGAACCGACAGAAGAACAAAUCCAAACAGAGAGGUAGCCGAACAGUCACCGUAAGUUUCUCAAAACAUGCAUCAGAAGUAACAAAGCGAACCUGCCAAAAAAGGAUCCUCUGAGUAGGAGCACUAGUUGGAUUACCCUCCGGCCACAUUGGAAUAACUAUAUAUGCAGAAAACCUCUCAUUUGCUUUAAUCUUGUUUGCAAUUUUAAGGGCAAUCUCAAUUGGUAUAAGAUUAUUAGCACCUACAAGACAAACAAAGGUCCAGAAAUCCACUGUAACAGAAGCAUUACCAACUAAAUAAAGGUUUGUAAUAUUAUAGCGACUGGAGAGUAGAAGAAUUUUAUGUUAUCUCAGCUUUUUUCUUCACUAAACUUAUGCUAAAUAACAAAUUUUUGCUUUGCUAGGUACGUUCAUGCUUACCAAUGUCUUUGUUUGAAUCCCAAUUAAAUGAAGAUCCAAGGAAGUACUGAUUCUCAAUAUAAAUGAAGUGUUGGGCUGCUCGGAUUGCAUUCACAUAAGCUGUAUGUAUGCUCAUAUCGAUCAACACAUUUUUUCCACACACAAGAUUCUGCUCGUAUAAUCAAGUCUGCCCAAGUCAGAAAGCAGCAACAGUAAAUCUAACAAUAAAAAGACUACAUAGUUUCAGAUACCUUUCUGGUUGCCUCUCUUGGAUCUUUUGGAAAACCUUUGACAGAAUUUGAAUCAAUUGACCGGAAGAUCUGAAUGUACGUGGAAGCAAAGAAAUUAUAAUAAUUUUCAGCAAGUCAGAUAAACAUGUAAUUCAAGAUAUUAGGAAAUGUACAACGUGAUUUUACCUGGACGUGCCAAGUCUCUGGAUCGUAAUCAGUUUGAUUUAUUAAUUCAUGGAUGCCAACAAUAUCAGGAAUUCUUUCAGUCUUGAGUAAUGCGUCAUCAUGUGACUUUCCAAGUUUUUUAAUCCCAUGACGUUUCGAUGCCUUUAACCAGCGCUCUUCGAAGUUUGUCAAAACAUCAUAAGCUGCCGGACCAUCAAUUUUAGAAUGCAAGUCAUGCCAUGGUUCUCUUGGGCCACGGGCAUCAAGUCCCUGCAAGGAAUAAUAAUAGAGCAGGAGACUACAAUACGAUUAACAAGAUGCCAAACAAACAAAUAUAAUGAAUCAAAAGAAAACAUGAGUGAACAAGUGUAUUAGGUAUCUUCUUUUCCGCAAAAUUGUAUAAGCAUCAGCCCAGAAAACGUUGAAUACAAGGUCUACAUUUCAGGGACAGUAUGCACAUUAUGAGGUCUAAACAAAUUAACAUCUAGAAGAUACUGAAUAAGCAGGCUUUGAUACAACAAUAUCCCUAAGAAUGAGUUCUACUUUUUUAUGUUUGUGGCAAAAGCUUGUAGUUACACAAAGAACCCAUCAAAAUACAAAAUUAAAAGCAUCCUAUGGACAGCAUGUUACAAACUAGAGCACCAGAAUGUGACCAGUGCAGACAAAAAAGUCAGAUGAAAGUUGAAACAUUACCGCAAAAUUAGGAUUGUGGUAGUCAUCCUUGUGCAAUGUUUGGAGGGUCCUAAAUAAAGGAUGUCUUGGAGUAUCAUAUCGUCCGCCACAUAGAUCAAGGCCUCCAACAAAAGCAAUGAUUUUUCUUCUACCAUGACCAGCAUCAGCAUCCAUAAUCACUGUUUUCUGAUGAUGAGUAAAGAUAGUCCCAGUUUCCUAGUUCCCAGAAAUUAGACUCGUUAGCACAACAUCUAUGAAUAUCAAGGAAGUUCUUGAUACUCUUGUAAAAUUAAAAAAACCCACAGAAAACCCCACAAUUUCAAGCAGAUCAGAGAAUUAGAAAUCUAUGGUAUAUAUGUUACUAAAAUGCAGUAGAAGAAAUGCUUUAUUGCAUCAAAUUGUAAAAACAACUUCAAAGCUAAUUAAAUAACAUCAUUACUGCAGAUAAUCCUCGCUCUAAACUUAAAUGGACGAAAUAUUAGGAACAAUUAGAAAAGGGAAACGUCAAGCAUGUGCAUGUAUACAUUGGCACACAAAUAGAGCUGUGACUGCUACAUCAUAAUUAUAUCCUAUGAUUAAUCCAACUGGCAAGAACUCAACCAGGAAAGAGCAUAUAAUCUUAAACCAAGUACACCAAAAAGGCCAUCCAAACAGACCAAUCAGGCUAUGAAAUUAUAAUUAGGUUCCGGUACCUAUAAUAGUUUAUUUGUUCUGUAAUUUAAUCUGCUUAGAUCUAUAUGAUGCACUUCUAUCAGUUUCGACCUAAUCUUGGAUAAAGCAUGACCUAGGCCAUCUUCAUGACCUGUACAAUGAAAGCAAAGCCUAGAUUAGCAUGGAUUUUGAGAAGCUAAUAAUAAUUCUUGUGAAUCUUUCAUCCAACUAACCAUCUGACAGGUAAUAUACAUGACAGAUAUAAGAGAGAAUUAUGUAUGCCAAUGAAGCAGGCCAAAUACAAAAAUUACAGGAUUUAAGACUACAAGAAACAAGUAUGGUUCAUGUACACCGCUAUGUCCACAGUUUGCUGGUUCUUAUGUGGCUAAAGAAAAGGACCACUAUGCAGUUUCAGCUACGUGAACGCGUCCUCUAAACAACAGCUGGAAAUGCAUUGCAAUUACAAAUUGCAACAAUCCACAUUGUCAACAGAGUCCAGAUAGAGGCAAAAAAAAUAUCUAAUUUUGAUAGUUUCACAGGAGUUUAAACAGAUAGGCAAGGUAACCUGUUGUUUCACCCAGCUGUGUCGUUUUCCAGCAGAACGGGGACAAAGCAACACCUGUACUGAAGAAUGCUUGAAAAAUCGACGUGUCUCCUCAUCAUGAGUACCCAUAACACCAUUCUGCACAUAUAAAUCUAAUAAGCAAAAUACUGAAUAACAAGCAUUUGUGAUGCUAAGUACAUGAUUAGAUUCUUCAGCAAUAUGGCAUGUUUACACGUAGAACACUACAACUACAAGAACUAAAAAGACUAUUCACCGCAGCCAAGAGAAGACUUAUAAAAAAGAUAGAAAAGAUUUAAGAGUGCAAUCACAGCAAAGUACUCUAAUUAAUUCUGCAAUCAUAUGAUUCUUGAUAGUUAAAGAUUUGGAUCAUCCCACGGAUUAAGUGUUAGGAAAAAGACAGUUUCUGGUAAAUAAUAAAGAGAAGUGCAAAAGGUGAUCAUAUAUCUCCGCAUGUUAAGGAAUAGAGGUGAACAACAAGAAGUCCAAUUAACAGAGUUCCAAAAAUUUCAAGUAACCAUGGAUAAUUUGGUGGGUGGCAAAGCCAAAAAUCCUCUUUAAAUCAAAAGACGAUGAUGCAAGAACAAACUAAUUUGAACCCCCACCGUUUGAAACCCCAAAAUGUUCCUCGAAGUCGGAUCAUCCCACACCAGAAGCAACACUCUCACCCCUUCCUGCGACUUAGACUUGAGAAGAUCACCCAACGUAAGAGCCUGCGCACCGCCGGUAUCGCGUACCAGUUGAAUUGUAUGAAACACCGACCACCCCACAAUGUAAACCAGGCGCCGUGCCUGGCUUAUCGCAUCGAAUAUGUCAUGCCAACACUUUCCAUGCUGAUAAUGAAAUCCAUGAUCCAAUACCAGCCCCGGGAGGCAACCGUCGGGGACAUGAGCAUCCUGAUACAGAGUAACCCUCCCACCCUUCCUUAAAGGGAAGUAAGUAUUCGGCACCCCGAAGUAGUCGGGGCCGGCACCGACCCCGUUAUGGUACGCGCUGAGCCUCGCCAUUGGGAUGUACUGUAUCGAUAGCCGGAGAACGGCACCGGGCUUACAGGGCUUGCCAUUCUGACCCAGAAUUGGGUAUGUUCCUUCCACCUUCUCUCCGGAGAAAAUUUGCUCCGCGGGGAUCGAAACGGUGCCGAUGAGCUGUGCGCCGACGACGUCACUGUCCUUGACCAUGAAGCGGACCUCGGCGGUCUCGUGGGCGACGGGGACAAUGAAGUGCUGGUUCCAGGCGGGGUUCUCGCUGUUGCUGACGACGUAGGUGCGGCCCACGGUGGCGGCGGCGACGGUGAUGGUGACGUAGGGAUCGCUGGUGAUCGAGGAGACCUUCUCGAGCUUGCCGCUGAGGGAGCUGGUGAGGCGGGGGCCGAGCAUGUCGCCGAGGGUCUUCGAGAACAUGUCCAUGUUGGGGAGGUUCCUCGCGUCCAACACCCACACGUCCAAGCUCCCGUGGAGGAGCAGCACCUUCAGGGACGCUUGCACGCCGUGCGGCGCCGCGCCGUAGGGCACGAUCUGCCCCGCCGCGCCGUGCUGCGACACCCCGCCCCCGCCGCCGCCGCCGUAGGGCACGAGCUGGCCGUGUUGCGACGCCGAUCCGGAGAAGCCGAAGGAGUCGGCGCGGUGGUGGGACGCCGCGGCGGCGGCGGGGGGGGGAUCGGAGAGGUGCAUGGAGGCGAUGACGUCGUGGAGAGGGUACAUCGAGGCGGAGGAGGAGGAGAAGCUCUCGGAGCCCGAAGAAGGAUAGGAAGGAUCAUGUUCGAAGCGGGAACUUCCGCCAUGGUGGAAGCUCGAGGAAGCAGAAGAAGAAGAAGAGGGUGGGAUGGGAUCGUAGGGGGUAGGGUUAGGGUACGCGUGGUGGGGGUAGUAGGGAUCGUAGGAUGGGGGAGGAGGGUAUUGUAAGGGCCCCGAAUGGUUGAAUUGGGGAGAGGGGUUCGGGGCGUGGGCGGGGAAGGAGCUCGAAGGGGCGAGGUAGGGAUACGGAGGAUGAGGAGGAGGAGAAGGGGUUUGGUGGGAAUCGUAGUGGGGAAGCGUAGCAGUAGGAGGAGGAGGAGGAGGAGGAGGAUAACCGUACGGAUAUGGCGGGUACGGGUUCCCGUAGUAGUUGUCCAUUUUCACGUUCGGAUUCCCCUUCCUCUUUCUCUCUCGCUCGCUCUCGAUCUAUCGUCGUAAUUCGUGCUAUAACGAAUGGAAAGAGCAAGAGCGAGAGAGAGAGAGAGAGAAAGAGAGGGAGGGGUGUGGCGUGAGGAUCGAGGAGAAUUGAGGUACAAGGGAAAGAAAAAAGAAGAGGGAGGGAGCGAGCGUGGAAGGGGAGAUAGAACGAAAACAAUUGCAUGCACCAGGUGCAUGGUGUUCGGCAUUACUUACGGAUUAUUUGGUAUUGAGGAAGAGAACUAGCCUACUAUGUUAUUAAUAGCACCAAGUCAUUGGUGCUACUAAGUUUUUGGCCAAUUAGAUUAAGAGAUGUGUGAUUAUGAUGAUUUGGGCCCCCUAGAGUUGAGUGGGUGAUUGGUUGAAUAGUAUGAUCUAAAAGUGAAAAUGAUCAAAAGAGCAGAUCUAACUGCGGAAAACUUGGUAGCACCAAAUGCUUCGUGCUAUUGAUAGUAUAGUAGUCGUACUCUUGAGAAAGACUAGGCGAGUCUGUUUAUUUAUUUUUCAGGCUUAGUUUGGUAUUGAGUUCUAUCUAACGCUAUUUAAAUAAAAUAGAAUUGGGGUAUAAAUAUAUAGAGAUAUAUUUCUGUAUUUUUCGGUGGAAUCGCAGAAAAUAUAUCGUGUAACGAAAUAUUACGUACGGAAACAAACAAAAUAUUUUUCUAUCGGACUUUCUUACUGUAUGUAAUGCAAUCUCUCUGCAAUUCCAAACGAAGCUUCGGUAACUUUCAAUUGAAAUGAUUUUUUUUAAAAAAAAAAUUCUACCAAAGUUUUUUUUUUCUACCUAUCACAAAAAAUAAAUUAAAUUAAAUUACAGCAUUUAAUUUAUUAUUUUUAUUAUUUUUUCUUCCAUCAUUGAUUUUUGUACUACUUAGGAUAAAGUAAAUUAUAGUAUUUUAGAAAACAGAAAGUUACGAACAAAUUUAAUUUACGGCAAAUAAAAAAAACAAAAAUAUUUACUGCUGAAAAAUAACUUUAUUCUUUUAUGGAACAAAUAUUAUUUAGAGUGAAAUGAGAGUUUGGGCGAUAGUAUAUUAUUAUUUGAUGUAAAUAUGUAACCGCAUAAGUUAUAUUUUAAUCGAAUUGCGGCGACAUACACAAUACGAUAGUUUUCUAUUUUAUUAUUUUUUUAUUACACAAAAUAUAAUCUGUUAAUAAUCCUAAACAACACCUAAGGUACAAUCAUCUUCAAAUUAAAAAAUGUAAGUUAUUGAAUAUGUACUUUAUGAUUUUUUUAAAAUAUAUAUAUAAUAUUAACCGUAAAUUUUUACAAAUAUUUUUCAUAUUUUGUUCUUAUGUUAAUACUCAUAAUGUGAAUUUAUUGAUUAGCUUGUACAAUUAGUCCAAAAAAUAUAUAAUAUUUUUCGACGAACUAAUUGAACGACUCAAAUUUAUUUAUUUUUACACUAUUAAUUUUUUUUGGAUUACUCAUUCUCUUGGUAGAAAAUUUUCAAAAUUCAUAAUUCAGCAUUACAUAGUUUUUUGAAUGAAUAUAAAUUUCGAAAAUAUUAAUCAAUUUUGAGUCUGUCGUGCACCGGGUGCAUGCAACCAUUUGCUAAUCGGGUGUGGUGGGGGAAUAAGACCGUUGGUGGGGACGUAGUGGGCGAGGACUACGCGCAGCGGCGCAGUUGAGGAUUCCGUGCGGAGUAGGUUGGUUUUUUUUUCCCUUUGACUUACCUUUUAUAUAUAUAUAUAUAUAUAUAUAUAUAUAUAUAUAUAUAUAUAUAUAUAUAGUUGAGCUAGAAUACUAUCGGUAGCAAACGGACUCCGUUGCCACCCAUUUGUUUUUAAUGAUGGGGCCUCCAAAUCGACGAUCGGCACCGUUAAAUAUGAUCUAUACCACUUGAAGUAUCUAGAAAUCAAAUUUUAUGCUUUUCCGAUAUUGUUCUCUUGUCCAUCAAGUGGGCGUAAAAAUGAACGACUAAAAAUGAAUAUUCUCUAAAAAAUGAUGAUAGAAAUUUUAUAAUCAUAAUCGAGAGUAUAGAUCUUGUUCUAAAUAGUUUAAAGAAUUUUCUAACUAAAAUUCAAUUGAUUUGAAUAGCUUUACACCGUUAAACGUGAAACACCUCAUAUCUACCACUAAAAUUACAAAGUUUGAAAUCUUUUGAUCAUUAGGUCAAUGAUAUCGAAAAGAUUUGAAAUUUGAUUUCUAGAUAGUUCAAGUGGUAUAGAUUAUGUUCAACGCUACCGAUUGUCGAUUUGGAGGUUCUAUCAUCGAAAACAAAUGGAUGACAACAGAGCCCGUUUGCUACUAAUAGUAUACUAGCUCAACUAUAU
This 45332-nucleotide long non-coding RNA is filed under the name Ananas comosus (pineapple). Its description in RNAcentral is "long non-coding RNA (ACOM_LNC013943)". The record is from RNAcentral. Lineage: Eukaryota; Viridiplantae; Streptophyta; Magnoliopsida; Poales; Bromeliaceae.